UUUGCAUCUGUCACUUCAACAAUUGGCAGAUGUAUGUCGAUGAUUAGCUUUUAAGAUUUGGACCAUGGAUUCUUUUAUAUUCGGCGUGUUUGUACCUUCUUCUAUGUUAAUUGUGUUUGUAUUUUCAGGUUUUUUUCUUUGUACUUUCAGAUUGGCUAAUUAAAUAAUACAGAAUCUUAAUUGCUUUCCAUGAGAAGUUCUAUAGCACAGGAAUGUCAAUGUAGCGGUAUCUCACAUCAAUUACGCAUUAUUAUAUGAGGAUACUAAAACACAUUACAAUGCGUGAUUGAUUUGAAAUACCGCAAUAAUAACAUCCAUAACAUAGGUAAGUUUUUCAUCGCCCUUAUCAAUCCUAUUGAGUAACCUGUUAGAAUCUUCUCUCCAAAGCCGGCUCUUCUGCGUCAGUUGACCUCCCCCUCCCCCUCCCCUCUUUUCUCCCCCAACUGUGACAAGGACGAGCUCAAAUUUUUGAUCUUAUCUAUGGAAUGAAAUGUAGUUUUUAUUAUUUUUUAAAUCAAACAAAACUACAUACAUUUAAAACUUGUUUGACAAAGAAAAUAAAAAGACAUUCGUUUUAGGCACUAACCGCUUCCACGUGGAACCGUACGUGGGGGGCUAAUAACGGUUUUAACCGAAACUCCAAGGACUCCAAUUUUUCUCACACAAACACUCUGUUUUCCCUCUGAUCUCUCUGCCUCUCAGAGCCGUGAAUGAAGAAUACGACGUCAUAGUGCUCGGAACUGGCCUCAAAGAAUGCAUUCUCAGCGGCCUCCUCUUUGUGGAUGUUCUCAAGGUAAAGCUUAUGUAAAUGGAUAACAUAUAAAAUUGUAGCUUCCUUAUGGUAAGGUUAUUGUCUAACAAAUCUAACCUACUGCUACACAGUAUGACGUACUUUUUUUCUAUGAUGUUGAUAUGAUCCCCAAAGUAUCAAGAAUUAAUGAUGCAUAUAUUUCUUCCUAUUGUUCUUUGAUUUCUUCUUUGAUUCAUUUUCUCUUUUUGCUUAAGAUUGUAUAUGUUGAUAGGCUGUCAUGUUAAUUUGUUUGUCCGUAAAUAUGUGAUUAGGUUCAGUCACUCAUAUGGGCUAGCAAAGUGAAAAAAAAAAAAGCUCGAGGAAACCAUAUACAAAAGGUUGUGUAAAAUAGAACUAUUAAUAUUAUAUAGAUAUAAUAAUAAAAAAUUCAAAAAUAAAUAUAACAUACAAAAUCCAAAAAAAGAAAGGAAACACAUGCACUAGCACUACAAUUCAAACAUGCAUGAAUACUGUCUGGCUUUCUUGUUUUACUUUCUUUCUUUUUUCCUUCUACAUAUUUCAGCCCCAAUGAGUUUUACUCCUUUUGUGUGUGGUUGAGGCAAUUAUAUACAAUACGCUUUCUGUCUUUGGCUACCUAAAAAGUCAAGAAUGAGCCAUGCCUUUUGGUAUUACUGAAACUGAUACUGUGUUCAGGAUUUCAGAUUCUCCAUUCGAUUGGCUAUUCCUUAUAAUUAUGUACAUGUAUUUUGUUAUUUAGAGAGAGAGAGAGAGAGAGAGAGAGAGAGAGAGAGAGAGAGAGAGGGAGGGAGAGAGGCAAGUGUACAAACUAGAAUAAGUGAUAUCUCUCUAGCAAUCCAAGCCUUGAGUGUUGGUCAUUUGAGCUGCAAAUCUUGGUCUCUGGCUCUGGUCUUUUACAAAAUCCGGCUGUUUCCUUUUUGUGUAACUUCUCAGAAACAGAGAAGAUGAUCUUCUAAGAAUUAAGUAGGACUUUCAAAACCAAUUUUUCAAUUUGAUCUCUGCGCUACAUAAAAUAUAAAAAAUUAAUACCUCUGCUGCGAUGUUUCUUGUAUUUUUACUUGUAUGUGUAUGCAUUAUUCACAUUUGCAUUGUCACAUUAUGGAUUUAGUUUUGAAGUGAGAAUCUUACUUGGAUUUCUCGCAGACCACCUAUGUAAUUCAGCACAACCUACUACCAUCUAGUUUUCUACAAGCACAAGCUCUUGAGAUGAAAUCAAAUUUAUCAUAUGAGUUAUCCCCUAGGGUAAGUUUCAAUGUUACUUACUAUAUAUGAGAUCACUGUAGGUUAGUUGGUUGAGCUUUGAUUUUGUUUACUUCUCAUUUUGUAUCUCAAGGCUAAAAAGUUGGAAGAUUGGUUCAUCCUUUGCGUUAAAAAGACCUAAAGAAACCCAGCUACUUCUAUGUAAGGCAUCUUGGUUCUAAUUAUUUAUUUAUGUUUUUGUGAUUUUUUUGUAGUGUUUGUCAACUUUGUGAGAUUCUUUCGGGGUUAACUGCAAUUUUUGUGAUUCUUUUAACCACAGCAAGCUGCAAAAUUGUGAGUUGGAAUCACAAGGAAAGCUUGUAAAAAUUGAAAUGGUGUUGGAGCUCAUUUUGCUGUUAAGCCAUUUGUCUGUGUUAGAUGUGCGUGGGCUGCUGCAUGUUGGUGCUCUAGGCUAAUUAUUUUGGGACUUUGAUUCCAAGAAAAUAAUGAAGUUUCCCGAGAUCCUUCAUAGAAAAUAUAAGUUGCCUGAUCGCCGAAUCAAAUGAGAAAUUUGUUCUUGAUCAUUGCCAAUUAUAAGGAUGUCAUCGACAUAAAUGAGCAGAACCAAAUAGAUGCCUUGUUAAUUGUAAACAAAGAGUGUGUAGUCACAUUUGGACUCAUGAAAUCCAAGCUGCAAAAGAUAUUCAGAGAAUCAUUGAAACCAAGUUUGUGGAGCUUGUUUCAAUCCAUAUAGACUACGCUUCAAUUUACACACAUGAGAUCGAAAUUGUUGAUCCACAAAGCCAGUAGGUUGUUUCAUAAACACAUCUUCAUAGAGAUUUGCAUGUAGAAACGCAUUUUAUACAUCAAGUUUGUGAACCUGCCAUCUAUUGCUCACGGCCAGGCUAAGGACAAGACGAAUGGUGCUAUGUUUGACCACGAGAUUGCAGGUUUCACUGUAGUCGAUACCUUGUUGCUGAUGGAGACCAUUGGCAACAAGUCUGGCCUUGUAUCUCUCUAUUGAUCCAUCUGCUCUCUUCUUUACUUCGAACACCCACUUAUUUGGAAGCAAAUUCAUAUGAGGCUGAUAAAGAACUAGCUGCCAAGUACCAUUAUGUUGCAAAGCAUUAAAUUCCUGAGCCAUUGCAUGUCUCCAUUCCUCCUGUUUCGUUGACUGACUAAAACAAGUAGGUUCAAUGCAUUAGUAUCCAUAAUAACAUGUAGAGCAUAUCUGGGAUUGGGUUUUGGAACACCCAACUGAGACUUGGUCGCCAAAGGAUGAUGAGAAAUAGCUUGAGAAACCUGCGGGACAAUAUCUUCAUUUAUUGGCUCAUUAGGAGUUGGGAAAGGAGUAAGUGUUGGAGUGGGAGAAGGAGAUUGAUUUAAUUGCACAUCGUCAGGCGUGCAAUGAGGAAGUGGAGGUGAAGUAGGAUUGUUUCUUGUAGGCAACGAAACAUAACCUGAUGGCAAAUUGAAUUAGUUGUUUCUGGAAAAGUAAACAAAAUUGCAGAAUCAAAAUUGGCACCUGUGUGUUCGACGCUUCCCUUGGAAGAUGUGAGUUCCUAAAAUGGAAAAACGUCCUUAUCGAAUAGGACAUGGCGAGACAAAUAAAUGCGUCUUGUGGAUAAAUUCAAACACUUAUACCCUAAUGGUUAAGAGAAUAUCCUAAGAAUACACAAGUUUUUUUUAUUUUGGUUGUAAUGUAUAUUUAUUAUAUGGAGUGAGCUAGGGAAAACACCUACACCCAAAGACUCGAAGCAUGUCAUAUGAAGGAGUUUUAUGAAACAAUUUUUCAAAAGGAGACAUAUGGUUUAGCACACGUGUGGGAAGGCGAUUUAUGAGAUAAGUGGCAGUUUGGCAGGCUUCUAGCCAAUAAGAGGUAGGAAUGUGAGCAUGGUUAAGCAUGACAAUAGCAGUUUCAACGAGAUGAUGAUGUUUCCUUUCUACAAGGCCGUUUUGUUCUGGAUGUUUAGUAAUUCCAUGUUUUGCCAAAAAUUAUUGAAAGGCUAGUUUUGUGUACUGGCCUCCUUCUUCACAUUGAAGAGCUCUUAUUGAGGUGUUGAGCAUUUUUUCUAUUUGUUUUUUAAAUUUGAUAAAAAUAUCAAAUACUUCAUAUUUUUGUUUCAUGAGAAAUAUUCUAGUGUAUCGAGAGAAGUCAUCAACUAAAAGAAAAUAAUAAAGAAAGCCAUGAACUGAAACAAUUAGUGAACUCUAAACAUCGGAGUGUACAAGAGCCAAUGGAGAUAAAAACACAGAAUCUGAAAUUGGAAAUGGUAAUUUAGUGCUUUUACCUAAAGGACAUGAAGAACAAAAAGGUACAUGAGAGGAGCCACUAAUUGGCACUUUAUUAUUUGAAAUCAAAUUCUUUAUUAUUUCACUAGCUGGAUGGCCUUGGAGAGAAUGCCAUUUUUGAAUUGAGACACGAGUUCCUAUGAAAGCAGAAAAAGAUUGAUUGGAAAAUCCCCCGCUAUUUGUGAAUGGAUAUAAUCCAUUCUAACACCUUCCUUGGAAAAACGUCUUCUGUGUCUUGAGGUCCUUCACAAAAAAACAAUCAAGAAAGAUGAGAAUAUAGCAAUUAUUGUCGGAAGUGAAACGAUGAACGAAAAUCAAAUUUGUAGAAGCAAAAUGGCAAAAGCGUUUUUGGUAGAAAAUAAAAACAGAAAAUAGAAACGGGACCUAGAAAACGUUACCAAACGACUCAUAAGUUGUAAUUGACUUACCAAACGACUCAUAAGUUGGAAUAUGUAUGAAUAUUGAGCUGCACGUAAAGUAGAUGAGACACAGCAUUUAACGAGGUUCGGCUAUGCCUACGUCCUCGGAGAGCAGCAGCAGUAACUUUUUCACUAUAUAAAAUAAUAGGGCUACAACUUUAGAGUUUACAAUAUGUGAGGCUCACUGAAUUUUCUCUUUCUUUCUUCUUUUUCUCUUCUUUUCUUUCUUCUUUUCUCUUCUUCUUCUCUCUUCUUUUUCUCUUCUCCCCUUUCUUUCUUUUCUCCGUUGGUCACACUCCCCUUUACAAUUGGUAUGCCUAUUUAUAGGCUAAUGUUUAGGCAAAAUACAGGGAAGGGAAGGUUCCUGGAAGAUGCAAGGAAACUUUCUGAAUUGAUAAAUACAGGGAAGGAAAGUUCCUGGAAGAUGCAAGGAAACUUCCUGAAUUGAUAAAUACAGGGAAGGGAAAGUUCCUGGAAGAUGCAAGGAAACUUCCUCUGUGGGCUCCACCUUCAAACUUUUACAACACUCCCCCUUGGAGACCACAAAUGAUAUGGAAUAUGCCUCGUUAAAAACCUUGCCAGUAAAAACCCAGUGGGACAAAAACUGUUCGAAGGGAAAAAGAGUACAUAAUCACGUGUAACACAAAAUUCUGUGUAUAUUGACGCGCGUGCGACACUGCCUCGUUAAAACCUUGCCAGGAAAAACCCAGUGGGAUAAAAACCUGGACGAAGGAAAAAGAGUACAGUGUGUAAGGGUCUGUAUUGACAGCACGCUCCCCCUGAUGCUUGGCAAAAUAUCUUUAAGCCAUACUGUUGAUCAUCUGUCUGAAUAUCAUAGUUGACACUGCUGCUGUGAGUCAAUAGUGUAUGAAGGUCUUUAUUAAUACCAUGCUCCCCCUGAUGAAUAUCUCCCCCUGAAAACUUCAUGACUAGCUUUUUCCAGUAAGCGACCAUAGAGAUUUCCUGAGUCCGCAUAUCUUAGAACACUUGGGCUAUUUAUAAGUUCACUAAAAAAUAUGCCCGUAUAUGGUGUUAUGCUUAGAUAGCAUCAAAUAUACCUCACAUCAUCCCAAAAUGAUGGUGAUGGAGUUGAGCCCUAUUUGGAAAAUAUGAUGUCCGGUCCAAUAUACUUCCGCAAAAUCAUUAAAGUGUCCAACGGAUAAUCCUCAUAAAAAUACUUCAAUAUUUUCUUAGUAUAAGCAAGAAUCUCGUUGGCAUAAUGCUCGAUCCUUAAGUCGAGACAAAUAUUUCGUGAAUUCUGCAGAAGCUUUAAUGUGUUGCAAUCACAUUAUAAUCAAUGUACUCACUGAGGUAAUUUAUGCAUAUUAAUAUUGAGUACAAAUUUUGUGCUUCAAGCACAUGCCCUUUAGGGACUUGCUUUAUGCAAUGUCAAUCCUCUCAACGGAUUUUGUUUUAAAGGGAUUAAACUUUAUGACACAUUAUAUAGCUUUAACACAGCUAUUUAUACAUCUUUAGGGAAUCGCUUCUGGCGAUAUGCUCCGUGCAUUUAAUAACCCUUAAAGAUAAUAUGUUGGUCUCCGUAAUUGUGUAAUAAGGGGGGCACAAUUGAAUCUGUAAAUAUGGAGAAAACCCAACAUUCCUUGUUUCUGCCAGAAACAGUGUGUCAUACAAAGUAGAUAUAUUUCCUUUUAUUCCGAACAUCCAAGUAUAACUUUCAGUAUUAACAAAUUUUGGGGUUCGUAUUGUGGGUUUGUUCUUUCACGUUCAUUCUCAUUUAUAAUGGAAUUACCUCGUUCCAUUUUGGCCAAUGAUAUUGUCGACAUUUAAUAAUUGAACGUGGUUCCAAUCAACACAGCCCAUUGAUGAUUUGAGUAGCUACUCCAAAAUCAAAAAUUGUCAUUCAUCAAUUCAUGAUCUCACAAUUCUCAUGUGCAUGCGCAUGCAUCAAUUAUAAGCAUUCCUUUGCUUUUGGGUACCCAAGCCACUUCAUGGGGCUUUUAUUAUGUGAGAAUGUGGAUUAUAACCUCCAUUGGAGCGUUAUUUUACAUAGGGCGUGGAAAAUCUCCAUUUAGGGAGUUGGAACAUUUAGAACCCAUAUAUCUGUCAUGCUGCAGGCAUGCCACAGAUUAAUACAUACAUGUCAAUUAAUUUCUGGGACCUUAACCCAUAUUAUGGGACUUUAACCCAUAUAAUUUGCUACGCAUUAGGCGUGCAUAAUAUCAAUAUUGACAUGUCAAAGGAUUGUCCUUUCGGGACUUCAAUCCAUAUCAUUUGCUACGCAAUAGGCGUGCAUCAUAUUGAUCACUGCUAUACCCAUAUUCUGUUCUUAUGGGACUUUAAUCUGUGCAGUGUAUUAUCAAUGUAUCCAACUUGCAAUCUGUAAAAUUUGCGUUAAUAAUUCAUGGAUACAUACAAGUCAUUCUUUUGGAAUGGACUUAUCUCCCCAUUUGGUUACCUUUCAAGAUAAAAUAUCAAAUAGGUAUAUAAGCAUAAAAUAACACAAGUAUUGCUUACAUCCUUAGGUGGGAGAAACUUUUCUCAAGUAUCAUUCAAGCUCAUAUCAGCCCAGUAAAUAUAAUGUAGCGCUUGAUGAUCUAGUUAUAUCCUGCAAGAGCAAAAAUCACAACUCUUUUGCCUCUGUCAAAACAAAUAACCCUCAUAGUUAGGAUUACUUCAUGGAUUCAUUCUUCAGAUGUUCAUUCUAAAGAAAUAAAAUCUCUUAUGAACAGAGAGUUAUAAAAAGAGAAAAAAUGCAAAAAUAAUGUGAUAUUGAUUGCAAGAGAAGGUAAGCAAUCAGGGAAGGAAGCUGGUGGGAGCAGACAAUAAGCUUUCAUAUCUCCUAGUCUAGAAGGACUCCCGGAGAUUAGAGUAUAAGAUCGCCUUCACAGUUUCCUAAUGUAGUGGAAACGUGAUCAGGGAUAGUCUUGCUUCCUGAAUGGAUGAUCAGAGAUAGUCUUGCUUCUCAGGCAUAUUGAGUGCUCACUGAUAAGAAAAAUAAGUAGAUAUCGUAUCACUAAGUAUGGAGUAACCUGGAUGUCUUUUGCAAAGAAAAAUUUCGUUAGUAACACAUUUAUACACAAAUACAAUGAAUAGGUAGAACCGGUAAAUUUCAAAUUAACCAUAAGAAAAUUGCGAGAUUCUCGGGAUACUUUUGAAAAAGUAGCUCCGUGAAAUCCGUAAAGCAAGAUCAGCUUUGAAAAUAAUACUUUGAAAAACGCCGAAAGUGCCGACAGGCAUUAUUAGAGGCCACGUGAAGUUUUGGACUCUGGGAAAGAAAAAGAUAAUAUGGGGAUUCGAGAAGACAUUGGAGUCCUGAAAAGUUGCCACAUUUUCGUCUAUAGAUAUUGCCUUUGCAAACUGCGUUUCAACUCAAUUUCCUUCAUUUUCUGAACCUUUAGUUUUUUCUAAGACUUUCUUCGAAACCUUCUUAAAAAAAUGGCUUCCUCUUCUUCCUGCCCAAAUUAUUUCAAUUUAAAUGAUGCUCCCACAACAACCAGUGACGCCCAAGUUUGGCGUCCAUCCUUUGUAUCCAAAAAUCGUCAUCUCACAGUUAAUGAUUCUGUGAUGAUGAAUGAUGCUACUACUGUCAUAGUAGCUAGGAAUUUCAUUACUCCAAUGGAUGAAAUGUUGUUGACAGGGAGAUCAGAGGAAGAGGCUAUUGAUGACUCAAUGGCUUUUAGCAUUCAGAGUGCUGCUUCUGUUUCUAACAUGGCUGAUCGUUUGCGUGCUAGAGCAAACGAGGUUGAGAAGCUGACAACUGAAAAUUCGUCUCUUCAAAGAAUGCUUCAUGAGUCUCAACAGGAGGUUGAGAAACUUAAAGGAGAGAAUAAUUCCUUGUUGAAACUGGUGAGUUCGUACUCUGUUGAUACACUGAGAAGGCUAGACAUGCUGCAGGUCUCCAAUGAAAGAAUUUUGGGAGACCACGAGAAGCUCAUGGCUAAGCUUAAGAGGCGCCGUCAUCUUCCUGCAGAGGCUUCCAGAACAUAAUGUAAUUUUUUAUAGAUUUCACAGGGCCUGCACCUUUAUUGCAAGUGGAAAAAAUCUAUCUGUUGUAUGUUCCUGUAAUAAUAAUUGCGCACAUUCUUAAACUUGCACCUGUGGUUUUUACGUCUUUUCAAAAUGACGGUUUGGAACCUUGUGCCUUAUAGGUUCAAAUAACCACAUUGUCUCUCCCAAAUUGCAUGGUAGCCCGGAACUUUUGGCAUGGGCACAAACUCAGAAUUUAUUUGCCCUUUUCAAAUGGACAUGAAAUGUGAAUUGAGUAAAAGUCAUGAUAAUAUCGCAAUAUAGUAGUGAAGAGCAUUAACUACUAUAUACCCACAACUUCAAGUUUAGGAUCUCUCAUAUAUUUGGAUCCAUGGGCUUCCGGCUCAGAUAUAACAAAAUAUGUAGGGAGUCUCAAUUCAUUAUUUGAGGUUUAUAUUGAUAUUAUCCAUUUCGCGGUGUAUUCUUAACAACCGGAAUUCACAAAAUAUAUUUCUUCCUUGAGGUGUCGAUUAUAACAAAAUCGAACUUUAAAUUCAUCAUCUUCUUAUGCCAAAGAAAUAUGUGACAUACCACAAUUUGCAAUAAUACCUCAAGGGUUGUCCAUUUAAUUGUUGGAACUUCAGGUUCUCAACACUGUUAAAUUUUGAACUUCAGGCCAAAGCCACAUAUUCUCAUGGUAUGGACAUUUUUACAAUUUUCUGUACAUAUUUCGGGACUUCAAGCCCUUACAUAAUUGUCCAUAUUUUGAGGAACUUCUGGCAUCUCAUUUAAUUGCUCAUCCAUGAGUUUAAGGAAUUGCAGGUUCCCUUUUGUAUAUAAUGACGGUUUACCCAAAAUGGUUAAUAUUUAUGCAUACGUCACUAUUCAUGUGAAUAGUACUAUUCAUCAAGUCAUGAAUACGUAUCUAUUCAUCUGCCAAUACAGUUAUCAUCAAUGUGUACGGUACUAUGAACCAAUACGGUACUGUUACAUCAUUAAGGAACUCUAGGUCCUUAUUUACAUGUCAGGAAUCAAGGACCUUUAAGUCCAAUCACAUGUUUACAAAUACAGUACCGGUGAGACUGCCAGCUCUCAUUUUAAUAUCAUCAUCAAGGAUUUUCAAGUCCUGAUGUAAUUGUAUGAUGAGGAUCAAGGAACUUCUGGUCCUGAUCUGCAUACUGGAAAAACUCAUCAUACAGCACAAUUAAUCCAUAAAAUAAAUUGCUGAUAAAUAAAUUACUGGUAUGGACGAUAAACCCGCACCACACUUUAAAUAAAUGUAAAUGUGCGGUAAAUUAAAUUCAUAAAGUUAAGGUGCUUGUAUGGGCAUUAAUUCUGCUCCAUACAUUUAAAUAAAAGUAAAGGCGUGGACGAUAAACCCGCACCACCCUUUUAAAUAAAUGUAAAUGUGCGGUAAAUUAAAUUCAUAAAUUAAGUUGCUUGCUGUAUGGACGUUAAUCCCGCACCAUACUUUAAAUAAAAUUAAAUGUGCGGUAAAGUAAAUUGUGCUUGUAUGGGCACUAAUUCUGCUCCAUACAUUUAAAUAAAAGCAAAGGCGUGGACGAUAAACCCGCACCACCCUUUUAAAUAAAUACUGUUGUAUGGGUAAUAAACCUACACCAUACAGUAAAUAAAAUAAAUAUGCGGUAAAAUAAAUUUGCGAUAAAGUAAAGGUGCAUGUAUGGGUAAUAAACCUACACCAUACAGUAAAUAAAUGUGGGGUUAAAACCACCACCGAAUAAAAUAAGAAAAAGUUAGUAUUAGUAACGGUCUCCCACUGAUAAUAUGUUUAGUAUUACCAAGGGUCCAUUUUUGUUAGUGGUUAGUAGUAUAGAUAAUAGUGCAGCAAAAAAAUUAUACCUGAGAGCUUCUCGUGCUGAUAACGUGUUAUAAAAAUAACCUGGAAUAUGUAUGAAUAUUGAGCUGCACGUAAAGUAGAUGAGACACAGCAUUUAACGAGGUUCAGCUAUGCCUACGUCCUCGAAGAGCAGCAGCAGUAACUUUUUCACUAUAUAAAAUAAUAGGGCUACAACUUUAGAGUUUACAAUAUGUGAGGCUCACUGAAUUUUCUCUUUCUUUCUUCUUUUUCUCUUCUUUUCUUUCUUCUUUUCUCUUCUUCUUCUCUCUUCUUUUUCUCUUCUCCCCUUUCUUUCUUUUCUCCGUUGGUCACACUCCCCUUUACAAUUGGUAUGCCUAUUUAUAGGCUAAUGUUUAGGCAAAAUACAGGGAAGGGAAGGUUCCUGGAAGAUGCAAGGAAACUUCCUGAAUUGAUAAAUACAGGGAAGGAAAGUUCAUGGAAGAUGCAAGGAAACUUCCUCUGUGGGCUCCACCUUCAAACUUUUACAACACAUUGGAAUUUUUAGUUCUAUUUUGGAAUUCCCCAGGAUUCAUGUUACUUAGAAAAUAUUGUUGUCUUCUUUAGGUAUGAAUCCUACAGAUUUUUUUUUUAAAUUCUGUCAGUAACUACUUUAUUUUUCUCCUAAAUUUAACGAGUGCUGCUAUUUUCACUCACCUGUCUUAUUUUCCCACCUAUUAUAUCUUCAAAAUUUUAAAGACAAAUUUAUCCCUUUAUAAAAUGAUUUUUAAAGACUUAAGAAAAAAAACAUUAAAAUCAAUUUAAAAAAUGAGAAAAAGAUAGUAAAAAAAAUACUAAAAAGAUUAACCCCACCUCACCCCAUCAUCUGUUCCGCGCACCCUUCCUUCUUCUCUAUUUUCCCUCUUUGUUUCUUUAAUAGUCACCGCCCCACCACAAUCAAAAGAUACCAAGCAGAUCCACCCCCAAAUUUUCAGUAUUAAUAAUAUGAAGGGACUUUUAACUGAGAUUUGAAUCAGCCCAGCAAUUCUAGGCUCUCAAAGUCUGCACCUCUCAACUGAGAGAGAGAGAGAGAGAGAGAGAGAGAGAGAGAGAGAGAGAGAGAGAGAGAGAGAGAGAGAGAGAGAGAGAGAGUAGCAUCUGGGUUGAGUUGUGUGGCUAGGGUGCUGGGCUGUAGGAGGUAAGUUUGAUGGGUGGGGUGUGAUGAAAUUGGUGGGGAGGGGAUCGGGUAAAACCAUAGUAUGAAAUAUCGAUAAUAUCGAAGAAAUAUCGAUAAUAUCGAAGAAAUAUCGAGGAUAUUUCGGUUUUUUCGAAUCACGGAUAUUUCGGAACAUAUCUAUGUACAUAUCGUAUAAAUAUCGACAAUAUCGACGAUAAUAUCGAAAAAUAUCGAUGUCGAUAAUUUCGCUCACAUUUCAGCAAUAUUUUGUCAAAAUAUCAGUGUAAUAUAGCUAAAAUAUCGAAAAUAUCGAUGUAAAGGAAAAAAAGAAAAAAAAAAGGGAAAAAUGGGAGAAAAAAGCACAAUGAACCCCUCUCAUUUUACUCCUCCAACACCUUAACCACCAUAUCACUUAUGUUUUUGUGAUAAUAUGCUCAAAUAUUUAUAUUUAUAUGGGUGACAUGUUAACAAUUACAUGCAAAACUAUUUUGGGGAUUUAUCAUUUGAUGACUACUCUUCACAAUACACUUACUCUACACAUAGAGAUGAUGAAGUUAGUGAAAAAUUUGAACCUCAUAGGAACUCUAUGUGGUACUAAGUCACUCAUGUAUCUUACCAUACAAUGUAUAAAGUGUAAAAUAUUGUAGUAAAUCAUUAUAUAUAAAUGAUUAUGGUAUGUUUAAUCUUUUUUCAAUAAUUACUACAUAUUUUUUAUACUCAUAGUGUUUGCCCGCUUGCUGUAUAAUCAACUUAAAUCAGUUAAAUUCAUCAUGCAAUGCAUUUCCUUCUAAUUUUUUGUGAUAAACUAAUAGAUAAUUGACUAAAUAAACAUGCUCCAAAGUUUCAAUAAAAAUUUCCAAGUUUUUCUUACAAUUUCCCUAGUUUUUAUUCAAUUUUUAUCUAUAUCGAUAAUAUCCCGAUAUUUCUAUUGAAAUUUCCAUGUUUUUGGACUACCGAUAUUUCCGAUAUCAUCGAUAUUUUAGACUUUGGGUAAAACAGAGAGAAAUAGUUUUUUUUGGAGUACUUUAUAUUGUUUAUUAAUUAAUUAAUAAUAUAUUAUUAUUUACUUGGUAGGUGGAAAGAUAAUGGGUAUUUUAGGAAUAGUAAUGAGUGAAAAGAUGAGAUUGUGUUUUUUUAAAUUUAUAUGGUAAGUUAAAAAAUAAAAUAUAGGAGUGGAAAUAGCAGCACUCAUUUAAAAAUUUCUGAAUUCGUCACUGGUUACAGUAAUAAUAAAUAAAUGCACCGACCAACCUGUUUUGGACAAUAAACAACUAAUUAACCAUGAUGUCCUUUUUCCUUCUCAAAUGCACCUACCUUUCCAAAGUAUCUACCACCAUUACUUUAUGCCAGCCAUCAUUACGUUCGAUCCCAUUCCAACAUUAUUAUUUAAGAAUUAACAUUAAAUAAUUAUAUUUGACUCCAUCAUAUUUUCUAAUUAUAAUAUAGUAAUUACUCCUUUCGUGAUAGCCACUCUUCUAAGAUAUACGAAUUCCUGUCAGUUUUAUUUGGCUGCUUAUUUGUAAGAGCAUCUCAUGUUCAUAUAUUAAAAGACAAGACCCGUGAUGAUAGGAAAAAUGAGUUGAACUACUACCCCAAGAUAUAAUGACUAUCAUGAGGAUUAGGUAACGUGGUUAGCUAAUAUGAUUUAUCUAAUCGCUUCUAAUAAGGUUUUUCUGUGCAGGGAAGGUUAGAUUUUUUUUUUUUUUUCCAAAGUCAGAAGAUAGAAACGUGAAUUGGAUUGUUAGACGUUGAUUUCUCUUCUUUAGACAAUUGAUAAAUUUAGUCGUAGUGUCCUUCUGAAAUGCUUGUAAAUAGCUUGAUUUACUACAAAAACACCUGCUCCAUCAUUGAUCUUAAAUCAUUACAUAUAGAGUGCGAAUGGAGUUCUUGUGGAGGCUGGGUAGUUUUUUAAAAUAUUUUAUUUUUAUAAAUAAAAUUUUUAAUUAUUUCAUUUGUAAAUAUGUAAUAAAUUUUUAAAUUUAUUUAAAUAGAGUGUAUUGGAAGUAUUUCUGGUAAUCAAAUAUGAUGAAAUAGAACGAGUUGUAAAAAUAACAACACUCUUAUUUAUAUAUAUUUUUCAAAAAACCACCGACUUAUCUUAUUGUAAUUUGUUGUAAAGUUUUUGUGUGGAGCCCACUAACUAUUCAUUUGGAGACUUUUGGUAGAGUUUGUCGGCAACUUCUUCUUACUGCACACUCACGAGAGUUGCACCAAUCUGCCUAUAAAUAGGCAACCUGCAAAGUUAAAAAGAAGAGAAGAUAGAAAAGAAAGGGAGAAACGGAAAGAAAGAAAGAGAAAGGAGGAAAGAGAAGAGGAAAGAGAAAGGAGGAAAGAGAAGAGGAAAGGGAAAGGGGGAAAGGAGGAAAGAGAAGAGGAAAGAGAGUCAGGCAGAGAAGAGGAAGGGAAGGAAGAAAUAGGGUGAGUGAGCAGAGAGAAAAUUCAGUGAGCCUUACAUAUUGUAAACUCUAAAGUUGUAGUUCUAUUAUUUUAUUUAGUGAAAAAGUUACUGCUGCUGCUCUCCGAGGACGUAGGCAUAGCCGAACCUCGUUAAAUGCUGUGUCUCAUCUACUUUACGAGCAGCUCUGAAUUAUCGCACAUAUCCCAGGUUAUUUUUAUAACAUAAUUGACUUAUUGAGAGAGCACUCCCAUUGAUCGUGCUUAGAGCUCCACUCACUUGAAAUCUUAUUGUUUUUUUUUUUUUUUAAUAGUAAAGAUGAACUUUCAUUAAUAAAGACCAAAAAGAGGUCAAAGAAGCACCGAGACUACACAACCAGUCAAACGGCAUUAACAAGAAAAAGAAACCAAAGCGACAAGAAAAGGUAAAACUAAAGAAAAGCUACAAGGGAAAGUAAAAUAAAAGAGGAAAACACAGCACAGCCAACGAACAACAUCACAUAUUUUUUUUACUUGGUAACUGGUUCAGGUUGUGGGCUUCGAGGAAAUUGAUCUUAUAAUAUUCAAGAGUAGGCAAGUGGAUUCCAACAAAAAAAGAGACAAGGCAAGUGGAUUCCAAACAAACAAAAAAAGAGUAGGCAAGUGGAGCAUCUGGAAUUUGAUCUGAAAAAUCCGCGAGCAAUCCUUAUCAAAAAGACUUUUAUGAAAUGAAAGUAGUAUUAUUAAUAAUAUUUUCAGUAUUAUUGGUUAUGAAUAAAAUAAUUAACAAAAUAAUAUUAUCCCCUAUUGCAAGUUGCAAGUGGUCCGAAUGGAAAGUAAUAGUUAAAGAAACGGAUUCCAUUCUACCUCAAAUCAUUGGAAAUUCGUACCUAUUUGAGAUUUAAAAAUAAUUUUUUACUUAUUAAUAUAGCUGUCAACAUUUAAUUAGUUGAAUGGGAUCCAUUAGUGACUGGGAUCAUAGAAGAUUGUCUCACACCCCCAAUUUGGUACUAUUUAUCGCUUCCGCUAGAGCAAAAUAGAUAUACAUCUUUUCUUCCUGGCUUUGGGAUAUAUAGAUAGAGAAAUAAAUUUUUAUUGAUAAGUUGGGUUUAAUUCUCCGAUUUCUAUUUAACACGUUUGUCAUUGAAUAAAAAAGAAAAAUCUUGCAAACAUAUUUCAAAAACCAUGUUGUUACAAACAGUCAUUAAGGGCAAAUGUAAUUGCUACAAAUAUAUUACAUAAACCAUUAUUGGACAAAUACAUUUACUACAAAUGUAUUACAUGAAAGGACCAGCCCCGAAUUUUCUCAAAACUCGAGACGAACCCUUUGGAAUUCCUGACAUCACCCCGAUGCCAGGCCCACUUACUAAAAACCGAGACUUCCUGCCGAAAUUUCGGCAGAGUCUCCCCUAUAAAUUGGACAUUUCCCAAAAAUUUCAACCUGCAUAAAAACGCAUUUAAUAUUCCCAAUUGGCAGCAUGCACAAUAUAAUUUCAUGCAAUUCACACAAAUGGCCUUCGGCCUUCCAAUAAUUCUUAACUAACUACCAAACAAAUCAAAUACCAAUUAUGACUAGCAUUUAGUCUGCGGCUGCACCUAAUAACCUUAGGCUGCCUACGUACCCUCCUUGAGGGAUCAAGCCACACGUAGUUCUUCCCUAAAACUCAGUUCCACACUUGGGCGAUGCCUUAUUUCAUUUCUCGGUAUUUCAUGGAAUCUCCCCAUACGCCGGUACAACCAACGCCACGUAUGGGGCCUGUCAACACGCCGGAUAACCUACGCCACGUGCGACCAUGCCAUACUAUCAUAAUAUCUCCCCAUACGCCGGUACAACCAACGCCACGUAUGGGGUCUGUCUCAACGCCGGAUAACCUACGCCACGCGAGACCUGCACAUCAUAUCACAUAACUCCCCAUACACCGGUACAACCAACGCCACGUAUGGGGCCUGUCCCAACGCCGGAUAACCUACGCCACGCGGGACCUCAAUAUCAUAUCAUAAAGCUCCCCAUACGCCGGUACAACCAACUCCACGUAUGGGGUCUGUCGACACGCCGAAUAACCUACGCCACGUGCAACCUCAACAUAAUAUUACAUAGCUCCCCAUACGCCGGUACAACCAACGCCACGUAUAGGGCCUGUCCCAACGCCGGAUAACCUACGCCACGCGGGACCUAACUUUCACUUGGUGGUACUUGUAGUGGAUCCAACAUCCGAGGAGGUACCUAAAGUAGUGCGUAUAGCACUCCAAACUGACACUUUAGACUCUGUUGUACCCUUGUACAACCAUAUAUAAUUAUAGUUAUAUAAAUUAAUUCUAAUAUUGUGUAACCCUCCACAAUCAUCUAGCACCCGAUAAUCCCCCCUAGAAAGGUGAGAUUACUCCGGGAGACUCACGGUCAACCAAGGAUCAAACUACUCUAACCCUGGUCAACCGGACCUGCAAAACCCACGACCUCCAAUUUCCGAUCCGGAAGUCCCUAUGGGUUCUACCAGGUAUAGGACACUUGUCCUGCAAGUUUGGUUCAGAUCGGACGGUCGGAUUGCUCACGAUCGCACGAUCUGACGGUUAAUAUAAAAUAUAGACUUAAAAUUAUUAUUCGGAACAUCCGGGGCUCCGAUUCACGAUCCGUGAAUUCCUACACGAUCCUAGAAAUACCUAGAUUAACAUAUAUUAAAUUUGGGACCAUCCGACGGUCCCAACCUAUCAAACCCGGAUAACGCAUAAUAUGCGAUUAUCCGUUCGAUAGUCAAACGACGUCCGAAUUGAGAUCCGCGAAAUCCUACGCACUCGUGACAACCUAAGGAUCUCAUCGGAACACAUCGCUACUUUUCUACAGUGCCCACGCGCCGCCGCACGCUCCGGCAACGCGUGGGUGCCCAAAGCGAUAACGCUUCGCCGGAAAAUCUCAACAUCUCGGCUCCAAACUCCUACCCUAGGUAUAACACCCUAUUUGGAGCCACUUUUGUUCUUGGACCUAUCCCAAAAAGUGGCCGGAAAUGGCCGAUCACGGCGGCCGAAGUUUCGGCCGAUUUUCAAUUCGAAAAUUGAGUUGCUUAGCUAAGAAUCGAUCUAAUCCUACCCAACCAUCAGCUAGAGCAGCUCGAGAGGUUCAAAAUCCAUAUCUGGGUCGACGGAUUUGGUGGCCGGAGGAGGAAGAUCGACGGCGUUGAAGUUCCGGCGACAUCCGGGCGAAAAUCGCCAUUUUUCGGCGGCUGGAGCGGCGGCCGAUGGCGGGGAUGGGCUGGGUCGUGACGCCGAGGUCGAGCCGGUUCUUUUGACACCGGCCCCGUCCGCAGCCGCGGCCGGUGGCCGGAGUUACGAAGAGAGAGAGAGAAGAGGCCGACGGGAGAGAGAGAGGAGUCGCGAGAGAGAGAGAGAGAGAGAGAGAGAGAGAGAGAGAGAGAGAGAGAAAACCAGAUUUUUAUAAAAAAUCUCAUUUCGAAAUAUUUACGAUUGUGCCACUGGGCUUCUCUUGACCAUAUCUCUCUCGUUACAACUCCGAUUCGAGCCCACUACGUGUCUAUGAACUCGUCUCAGUACGACCUAUCCAAAAAUAUAAGUCGCGGUCCCAAACUCUCUCCGGUUAAAAAUAUGACUAAAAUACCCUUAAAUAAUUAAAUAAUUAAAUGAGGGUAAAAUUUGGGGAAAUUUGGGGUCGGGGUGUUACAUUACACAAACCAGUAUACUUGUUCUACUGAUAAUGUUUGUGAUACAAACCUGUUGUAUAGGUAUAGUUGGAUAUUCUACCUGUCCUACAGACUUAGGUUGGUUCAUAAUCUUUUUCACUACAACAGCAAGUAAUCUUGAAAAAUAAACCUUAUAAGCCUAAGGUUCAGGUACAUCAACCAAUACUAAUAAACGGGAAGAAAAAACGCAAUCAAAUUUUACCUACAAACGACAAAUAUGAAAAAUAAACCUUUCCUUACAUACCUUCACUGUAGUUAUGUGCCAAGUCAACUAUUUUCCACCCCAUAUUCAACACUCAAACUACCUCCAUGACACAUGAACCUAACGAAAAAAAAAAUAGAUAAGUUGAAUACUUCAUAGCAAACCUAACGGAAAAAAAAAAAAAAAAAAAUCUGACUGUAACACAAGUAAUUCAAUCCUAAUUUGGAAUUUGUGAAAAUCUUCAUUAAGGAAGUCAAAAAUCAGCAGAGACUGGGAUAGAACGACCAUGAUUGUAGGAGACAAGCAGAUUGUUGGGAGGGGUCGGUUUUAUUUGCCUUUUCUAUUUAAUGGCACUAGAAGUAAAUAUCUUAAAAAGGAUGGACAAAGGCAUUGCUUACGUGUCCAUUGGAUUGUUUGGUGGACUGCUAUUGAGGAGCCAAAAUUGACGUACUUCAUCCAUUGUAUCUUAAUGAAAAUGGAUACCCCUAAAGAUUAUUAAUAAAAGUACACUUAUUAAAAAAAAAUGAAAGAAAGAGAGGAGCUCGAUGAGGAGGAAGACGAGAGAGGCUCUAAAUUCUUCAACAAGAAGAGAAGUUUCUUUUAUGAAGUUGAAAGCAUUGCUCAAAAUGUAAUUGAGAGCUUGUGAAUAUGGUAUUUUGUAUAGGAUGUUGAAGGAUUAAGUGUGUAAUUGGUGGAUUUUGGGCUCUAGAUGGCUAUUGUUAAACUCCAUGGAUAUGUUAGUGUACUGCUUUUAAAUUUUUCAUGAAUAAUUUCCAGCAAUUUAUAGAUUUGUUGUAUUGUAGCUAUUAAGUAAUUCGUUUCUUUGGUAAAAUAUGUAGUUUCAUCUCUAAGUUCUUUUGAUUCCUAUUCAAUUAGGUAUAAUUGUAUCUUUGUGGAAUUUGACAACUUUUUUGUGUGUGUCCGAAAUCAAGUUUCAUUGUGAAUAUCCAAUUAAUGAUGAGUGAACAGCGUGCAUAUGUUAGCUGUUAAUUUGUUUUUUCUUUUGUGGCAUUACCUGUUCAACCAAUAUUAUAUGUGGAGUAAUCGAUUCGGGUAACUUAUUAUGUGUUAGAAAGUGGACUUACCCAUCACAGCACAUGGAGUACACAUCCUCACAGCAAUUGUUUAAUCAACGAUUGUCCCAACCAUGGUCAUGCGUAGCAUAGAUUUCUAAUUAUUAAUUGAUAAUGUCUCCCUCUCUCUAGGGCCGAGAACUCGGGGAUUUUUGCCAUCCCUAGGUAAUUCCUUUUAGAACUUUUUUUUUUUUUUUGAUGAUGUAAUUCCUUUGAGAACUUGUGAUCGACAAAAUGAUGAAAAGAGAUGGAAUCUACUUUUUCAGAGCAAUAAUAGAACCAUAGCAAGAUUUCUAAGCAAUAAUUGAUCAUCUCUCUCUUCUAGUACAUCUGAGCUGAGCUCCAACCACCACCACCACAAUCGAAUCUUAUCUUCUCACAUGUAUUUUUGAUUUUUUAAUUUUGUGUUUCAUCUGGUUGAUUGCUCCCCAGAAUUAAUUCUAGAUGUGUUGUUUUGAUUAAGCUAGCAUAUACCAAAAUAAGGCCAUUAUGGCGUCAGUUUCAGCAGACCUCUUCAUUGGCAAAUUUGUAGCAAUUCUCGAGAGUGAAGCAGCCUCCAUAGCGUGUGUUCGUGAUCAAGUUGAUGAGAUUAAGCAGGAGCUGGUAUUCAUGAAAUCCUUCUUAGAGGAUGCUGACGGCGGAGAGCAGGCACAUACACAAGUAGAGAAAGCGUGGGUCGCAAGCGUUCGAGACUUGGCCAAUGAUGUUGAAAACACCAUUGAUGAGUUCAUGUAUCACGUGUACGAGCAGCGAAAUGGCGGUCGAUUUGCCAGGUGGAUCCACAAAACCAUUCACUUUCCAAAGCACCUUUGGUAUAAGCGUCAAAUAGCCAACAAGUUACAGAAAUUCUUGGUGGCGAUUAGAGCUAUUCCAGAGAGAAAUCAGAGAUAUCGUGGUGCUGCAGCUGUAGAAGGAAAAAGCACUUCUGAGGAUAUUCGGAGAUGGGUGCAGAACCAAGCGGAGUCUUCUCUUUAUCAGAAGGAGGAUGAACUUGUCGGGAUUGAAGGCGAUAAGAACACGUUACUGGGAUGGCUGAUGGAUGAAGCGAAGCAGCAAACUGUUGUGUCCGUGGUCGGGAUGGGAGGAUCAGGGAAGACAACUCUAGUUGCAAGGACCUUCAAAGAUGACAUUGUAAAGAGACAUUUCGAAUGCUAUGCGUGGAUUACUGUUUCCCAGUCUUAUGUGAUUGAAGACUUACUUAGAAGAUUGAUCAAAGAAUUCCACAAAGCAAAGAAGGAAGAGGUCCCUGCAGACAUGAAUGCCAUGAGUUAUAACGAAUUGUUGGAGAUUUUGGUGAACUACUUGGAGACUAAAAGGUACCUAAUUGUAUUGGAUGACGUGUGGGAUGUCCACCUUUGGGACAAAAUAAGGUUUUCAUUUCCAGAUAAACAACUUGGAAGUCGAGUCAUGCUUACAACUCGAAGAGAAGACAUAGGAUCCUCUUCUUUUGGAGUUGAAAGCCAUGUUCACAAGAUUCGACCGCUGGAAAUGGGUGAUGCGUGGGAGCUCUUCAGCAUGAAAGCAUUCUCAAGUUAUCAGAACAAAUCUUGUUCACCUGAACUUCUGCCAUUAGCUCGGGAACUUGUGGAAAAGUGUGAAGGCCUACCACUCGCGAUCGUAGCCUUAAGUGGUCUCAUGUCUUCGAAGAAGUCACUUAAUGAUUGGAGCAAAGUCUACAAUAGCUUAAAUUGGCAUCUAACAAACAAUUCUUUGUUAGAACCUAUGAAGAGCAUCUUGUUGCUUAGUUUCAAUGAUUUGCCAUACAGAUUGAAGCAGUGCUUUCUAUAUUGUUCCCUUUUCCCAGAAGAUCAUGUGAUCAGGAAUAAUAGGCUCAUUAGAUUGUGGAUCGCUGAAGGAUUUGUUGAACAUGUCAAAGGGGUCACACCAGAAGAAGUUGCAAAGGGCUAUCUUAUGGAACUCAUUUUUCGUAACAUGCUACAGGAAAGGUUUGUAAUAGCCCACCCAGCAUGUAAGAUGCAUGAUCUUUUGCGAGAUAUUGCUCUGGCUAUAGCAAACAAAGAUAAGUUUUGCGCUGUACAUGAUGGAAGUGAAACAGUAGAAGAAACUGGGGCACUCCGUUUGUCAAUUCAAACAACUAAUGGAGAAAUUGGAUCAUGCACAGGUAUAUCACGGCUCCGUUCAUUUCUCGUCUUUACCACUGGCGUAUCCUCAUUCUCUUUCUCAAAUAAAUUACCUUUUGACCUUAAAUUGUUGAAGGUUCUAGAUUUGGAGGAUAUCCCAAUAGAUAAUCUGCCAGACGGAGUAACGAGCUUAUUCAAUUUAAAAUAUUUAAAUUUGAAUGGAACUCUAAUUAAGGAGCUUCCAGAAUCCAUUGGACAGCUCCGCAACCUUCAGACCUUGAACAUCACGGGGUCAAAAAUAGAGGCACUUCCAAGAGGGAUUUCCAAGUUGCUAAACUUACGCCAUUUACUUGUGGGUGGGUUCAUUUCCAGAAAGGUAAUUGGGGUAAGAAUACCAUCAAGUAUUAGUAAGAUGAAGAAAUUGCAAUCUUUGUUCUAUAUUGAAUCAGAAGGAAACAUUAUUAGACUUAUUGGAAGUAUGACCCAGCUUACUUUCCUUGGCAUUACAAAUGUGAAAGAAAGAGACGAGGAGGACCUAUGUGCCUCAAUUCAAGAGAUGGAGGUCCUUUCCUGCUUGUAUUUAUAUGUAGCUGAUGGAGAGGAAUUUCUUCGAGUUGACGCAUUGUCUUCACCGCCUCCCUACCUUGAUAGACUUAGAUUGGUCGGCAAACUGGAAAAGGUUCCACAUUGGUUUUGUUCGCUCCACUCUCUCACAUACAUGCAUCUGCAAGGGUCCAGACUUGAAGAAGAUAUACUACCUCAUAUUGAAGCAUUGCCCUCUCUACUUUAUCUUUCCCUUAUUAAUGCCUCUGUUAGGGAAGAGUUAUGUUUCAACAGAGGCUUUGCGAAGCUUCGGCAUUUGUGGUUUUAUGAUCUCGCAUUAUUAACUAAGAUAACUAUAGAAAAAGGGGCGAUGCCAAAUCUCGAGUUCUUAAAGAUUCAUAGUUGCUUGACAUUAGAAACAUUGCCACAGGGUAUUGAGCACCUUACUAAACUGCAACGAUACAGAUUUGAUAAUGUUUCAGAGAAGUUUAGAGAGUCCAUAAAAGAAGGAGGUGUGGAUCAUCCAAGGAUGCUACUCGUCGAUGAGAGAUGUAAGAAAUGUACGUAAGUAUCUUUUAUCCUUUCAUUGACUUUCCUAAACUUAAUGAUUUGGAAUAUUGCACUUGUGUUCAAGAAAUUGUUCUCGUUCACAUCUCUGUUAAUGGAUGUAAAGCCAUAUAAAUUGUUUGUUAAUUACAAUAUUGUUUUUGUCUUUUUAUAUAUUUUGCAGAAACAAGUCCUGGGAUUGAAGAUUUUACUCAUGAGUUUGGGGGUGGGAACUUGUUCGUCUUGUUUUGACCCCAAGAGUGAUCUAGAUUGGCUUCUUAUUUGCUCUUUUGAAAAUCAAACAAUACCCAAGUUGAUGUUCAUAAAAUUGCAGUUGAUGUUUUUGUGUGUGUUUUAAUUUGCAUGUAAUUAGCCCGUAUGUGGCGACUACAAUGUUGAUAUGAUUCAUUUUCUCUUUUUGCUUGAGAUUGUAAUACGUUGAUAGGCUGUCAUGUUAAUUGGUUUUUCCGUAAAUAAUGUGAUCUAGCUAGGUUCAGUCACUCAUGGGUUAGCAAAGUUAUAAAUAAAUAAAAAUUAAAAAAAACAAAAACAAAGCUCUAGGAAACCAUAUUUGGAGUAACAUACAAAAGCUCGUGUAAAAUAAACCAUUAAUAUUAUAUAGAUAUAAUUUAAAAAAUUCAAAAAUAAAUAUAACAUACAAAAUCCAAAAAAAUAAAAAUAAAAAGUAAAGGGAACACAUGCACUAGCACUACAAUUCAAACAUGCAUGAAUAUUGUCUGGCUUUCUUGUUUUACUUUCUUUCUUUUUUCCUUCUACAUAUUUCAGCCCCAAUGAGUUUUACUCCUUUUGUGUGUGGUUGAGGCAAUUAUAGACAAUAUGCUUUCUGUCUUUGGCUACCUAAAAAGUCAAGAAUGAGCCAUGCCUUUUGGUAUUACUUAAACUGAUACUGUGUCCAGGAUUUCAGAUUCUCCAUUCGAUUGGCUAUUCCUUACACAUGUAUGUUGUUAUUUAGAGAGAGAGGGAGGGAGAGAAAGGCAAAGUGUACAAACUAGAAUAAUUGAUAUCUCUCUAGCAAUCCAAGCAUUGAGUGUUGGUCAUUUGAGCUGGUUAUAUCUUGCUCUCUGGCUCUGGCCUUUUACUAAAUCAGGCUCUUUUCUUUUUGCGUAACUUCAGAAACAAUUCGUCGCGCAUUUUCCGUCGCGCGAAGAUCGUGAAGAAAGCCUUUGCGCGACGAGGUAUAACAAUUCGUCGCGCAAAACUGUGCGACGGGUAAACCAUCGUUGCACCAACGGUAUGGAGACGAAACAACUGUUCGUCGCAUAAAAUUUGCGCGACGAUCAAUUAUUCGUCGCACAUAUCUUUGCGCGACGACUGGAAUUGCGCGACGAAAACUAAUUCGUCGCGCAAAACGUGUUCAGGAGACGUAGAUGUUCGCCGCAGAACCAUUCGCGCGAUGAGAAAGCUUUCGUCGCUCAUAUAUUUGCGCAACGAAAAUCUCUGUUGUCGCGCCAGAUAAGAUGCGCGACGAAACAAUUCGUCGCGCAAAACGUGUUUGCGAGACGUAUGCAUUCGUCGCGCAAGAAUUAAAAGUAAUAAAAAAGUUGAUUUUUUUAAUUUUUUUUGUUACAUGCGGGUUUGCGCGACGAAAUAUUUGCCGUCGCGCAAACAUAAUAGUACAAUUUUUUUUAUUUUUUUAUAUUUUUUAUUUUUUAUUUUAAAUAAAAUUGGUUUUUUUAUUGAUUAAACAAUGAAAUUGCAAUAAAAAUAAAUUAGAAUAAAAUUUUGUUAUAAAAUAAAAUAAAUGUAUUACAAAUAAAAUAAAUACACUAAUCAAAUAAUGAAUCAAAAUCAACCGAGUCGUCGCCAGUAUGCGGCUCGGAGGUCGGGGCGUUCACCAGGGCAGUGGUCUGGUGGGGAUGCCCGGGAUGGACGGGCUCGGAGGUCGGCGCAUCAAAAUGCAGGACUGGAAUGCCGGACUGUGCGAGGGACUGCAGAAUGACCGACAUCUGGCUCUGAAGAGUUGCCACCUGUGCUGUCAAAGCAGUGACCUGACUGUUUGAUUGCGCCGAUGAACGAGGUCGAGGUUCCCUCCGCCGGGCAUUCCCCAUCCCUCGACAAUAUGUCCCCGGCCUCCUCCCGAGAGUCUGAUCCAACGUCUCUGUCAAGAUCUGAAAUCCAGCAUCCUGUGGAGGAGCCACAGACUCGAUCGGAGUCUCGGGAGGAAGCUGGGAGGCGGACUCCUGAAGAACCAACUGGCUCCUCUCCACCAUUAUCGUCUGUUGAACAUAACAUAAAAUAUAAAUUAAAACAUGCAUAUAAAUUGAAUGCGUAACAUAAGAAUUAAAAUUAAAUAAUACUUACAUGAAGGGACUCGGCCAACUCAUUCCCGGGUCGAACAUAAACGUCACCAAAGACGUCGAUCUCUGGGAACUUGGACCCCUCCUAAAUUGAACAAGAGAAGAAAAAUAUUAGUAUGAAAAAAAUAAAUUAAUAAAAAUGACAUUAAAAAUGAAAUAAAAAUUUUGUGAUUAUUACCCGACGCCGUGCAUCCAUCCUAUACGAAAAGGGUCUGGAGCCGGAAUGGUGGAGAAGGGUCUUCUUCUUCCUAUUACCCUUAUUCACAUGGGCUUUAUUCUGUUAUACAAAAAAUGAAACGUAUUAGUUCAAAUAUAAAAAAUUAAAUAAUAAUGAAAUAAAAAAAUAAAAUAAACAUUAAUAAGUAAUAAGUAAUAAUUAAAAAAAUACCGCAAAUUCGGGCACUUGAAAAUGAGCGCAGAGCCACUCCCAACUAUCCUCCCGCCCCUCAAGCUCCUUCGGGCAACCCUCCUGAAGAGCGACUUGCGGAUCAUCAUAGGCCUGAAAAUGGUGGUGCAAGUCGCUCUUCCACUGCUUGUACCUCUCAGUGAAGAGUCUGUUGACGUACGUCAACGACUCUUCGUCGAGAUCCUCCAAGUUAUAGUUCGUCUGCAAUCAAUUAAUUAGAUACGUUAAGUAAUAGAAAUAUACACAAUUUUAAAGAAAAAUAAUGAAAAUGUAAGGUACAUACCGACAACUGGCCGCGAACCUCCGCCUUGAUCUCGUCAGGCAUGACCCUCCAAGACUUCCAUUGCAUCGGGCAAUGGGUCCGCACGACGUGGCCAAUGUCGUGGGCCAAGGAGCUAUGCAACUCUGCCGUCGGUGUAGCCCGAUGGCGCUCGUCGUAUCCGAUGCUGAUACGACUGUUGGUCACCCGGGUGACCUUCGCCGUCUUCAGCUGACGACACGGUCCUCGGGUGUUCUUCUUCGCUGCAAAGAAAUAAGGUAUUAAUGUUAAAUAAAAAAACAUUGUCAAAUUUCAAUAUAAAAUUAACAAUACAAAAGUGUAGUUAUACCUGGCUGUGAUCCCGAGGCACCAGUACCGUCGGUCGAUGUCGUGUCGAUGGUGUCGGUGGGCCGGUGCCGCCGCCUAGCACUAGCUGGCUGCGCCACGGAUGACGCAGAUGACACAGGCGCCUGGGACGCCCCGGGACCAACCACCACGUGGUCCAGCAAAGCAGGAGCAGUGGCAGCAGAUGCCGACUGAGCCGGGGGAUCUGAACUCGAUGCAGUCGUCAUCGACCUACCACGUCUAAUCAAGUCUGACAUCUGCACAUAUAAUUUCAUUCAGAAUUUAAACUAAUUAAUUAAAAGCAUAGCCUGACCUAGGGUUUGGAAUUUCGGAGUAUCCGGGACUCCGAUCAACGAUCGGUCGAAUCCUAAACGAUCCUAGAAACACAAAGGUACAACUACGUGAGUUUCAGUUCGAUCCAACGGUCCGAACAUAUCAAACUUGGAAAUCGCACAAUAGGCGAAAUCCGAUCAAGACUCAAACGGCAACAAAAUUCAAAUCUGGGCAAACCUACGCGCUCGUGACAAACAGGGGAUUGCUCUGGGACCCAAUGCCCCACUGCCACAGUAUCCCACCCGCCACCACAUGCGCCGGCAGUGCGUGGGUGUCCAAAGCGAUAAAAUUUGCCGGAAAAUUCUAAAAACUAAGGGCCAAGGUUCCUACCCUAGGUUGAAAACAUUAAUUGGAGCCACUUUUGUUCUGGGACCGACCCCGAAAAAUGGCCGAAAGUGGCCGGAUUUGAUAGAGGCUUACAGUNNNNNNNNNNNNNNNNNNNNNNNNNNNNNNNNNNNNNNNNNNNNNNNNNNNNNNNNNNNNNNNNNNNNNNNNNNNNNNNNNNNNNNNNNNNNNNNNNNNNNNNNNNNNNNNNNNNNNNNNNNNNNNNNNNNNNNNNNNNNNNNNNNNNNNNNNNNNNNNNNNNNNNNNNNNNNNNNNNNNNNNNNNNNNNNNNNNNNNNNNNNNNNNNNNNNNNNNNNNNNNNNNNNNNNNNNNNNNNNNNNNNNNNNNNNNNNNNNNNNNNNNNNNNNNNNNNNNNNNNNNNNNNNNNNNNNNNNNNNNNNNNNNNNNNNNNNNNNNNNNNNNNNNNNNNNNNNNNNNNNNNNNNNNNNNNNNNNNNNNNNNNUGAAUGGCAUUAAUGAACCUGCGCGACGGAAACACUGAGUCGUCGCUCAAAACACUUCUGGCCGCCAAAAUUUGGGGUUAGGGUUUGGCUGAAACUGAAGGGUCUUUGCCUUUGCGCGACGAAGUAAGUACGCGUCGCGCAUAUCUGUCGCGCAAAAUGGCAUUAAUGAACCUUGCGCGAUGGAAACACCUGAGUUCGUCGCGCAAAACACUUCUGGCCGCCAAAAUUUUGGGGUUUAGGGUUUGGCUGAAACUGAAGGGUCUUUGCCUUUUGCGCGACGAAGUCAUGUAAUUCGUCGCGCGAGUUCGAGAUUGUGAUUCGGUUGAAGUUUUCGCUAAGUGUUCAGAGGGUCGAGGGAUUGCGAGACGAAUAGACUUGUAUUGCGCGACGUUUUUAUUCUGUUCGUCGCGCUAGUUCAGAAUUUCAUUCGGUUGAAAUUUUCACUAAGUGUUAAAAGGGGAUGGAGGGGUGAACUGUGUGUCCCAGAUUGCGCGACGAAUGAAAACAUAUCCGUCGCGCAAUCUUUAUGACUUUCACUUUGCGCGACGAAAGGAAUGUUAUUCGUCGCGCAAAACCUAAACCCUAAAAUGUAAACCCUAAGCCGUAAGCCCUAAGCCCUAAACCCUAAACCCUAAAAUAGUUUCAAUGAUCCAACCGGCAAACUUAUUUUUUUUAUACUUGGAGAUCAUAUACGCCAAAAAUCAAAACGACCAAACAUUCAGAUAUCAGAAAACGGGACAAAAUAUUUUGACGGUUAUAAAUGAAAAGUCAUGAUUUAACGGUUAUUUUAAUUCCGAUUUUGAUCAUUUUUUGCAGCAACAUUUGUUGACCCUAUAUGAAUACAAUGACUGAAUUUGAUCUUCAAUUUCAGAUUUUUACACUAGGGGAUACCACAUAAACGUUAAGUUACAUUUUGACAAAUGUAUGAACAAAUUUUUGAGUUUUUGGUGAAUAUACGAUUUUGAUAGCACAUGCAGUCUACGAAACUAGUUUCAGCCAUCCAGCCGUCAAACUUGUUUUUUUAUAAUUCGAGAUCAUAGACAGCAAAAUUCGGCCCAAAAAAACAUUCAGAGAUUAAGUAACGGGGUAAAACUUUUCGACGGUUCUAAAUAAAAAGUGAUGAUUGAACGGUUAUUUGAACUCCGAUGUUGAUGAUUUUUUGCACCAAUAGUCCUACACUCCAUAUGAAUACAAUGAACUACUUCGAUCGCCAAUUUGAAAUAUAUAUGUGUGUAUAUAUUAUACUAUAACGUAACCUAAUAUAUAUUUGCGCGACGAAGUUCUUCUUAUCGUCGCGCAAAAAACCCCAUACGCGACGCAUUCAUGUUCGUCGCGAAAACUAUUGCGACGAGGUUUGUUCGUCUCGCAAAAUUUACGCGACGCAUUUUUUUGCGUCGCGUAUGGUAUUUUUGCGCGACGAUAAUGUGUCUUCGUCGCGCAAGGAUUUGGCGCCAUAACUCCUCCUUUAAUUCAAAUUGUGUAUGCUUUGUAUUUUUGGGAAAGGUUUUGUAUUCAUCAUUUUUUAUGCUUUGUAUUUUUUGGAAAGGCUUUGUAUUUCUUCAUCAAAACCAAACUAAAUUGAUAAUUAAGAUUUGAAUCGACCGAAUUUAUCGGUUUGACUAGAUUGAUGCCACUAAUCAUGAACCAAAGUGAAGAAAAAUAAGUGGCACACAGCUAAUAUUGGAGAAAUAACUUAAAUUUUCUGUUUAAACAUGAAGAAAUAACUAUAUCUCAAAAGAAAAAAAUAAUAAUUGAAGAGGCCUUAAGGCAUGAAUAAAUAAAUAAAUAAAUAAAAACCAAUCAACAAGCAUGGGGUCGUAAUAAGUACUGACUAAAGUAUUGACAUUCCAAUGAAGUUUGUGAUGAAAUAUGGAGAAUGAAUACACAACUACAUAUGGACAACUACAUAUAUUCAAAGAUUUGUAUUACAAAAAAUGAAUACACUAACAUAAUAAAUUUACAAAUAAAUUCAUUAUUCAUCAUCUGAACUAUAAUAACUUUCGUUAUCGUCGCUAUCAUCACUCUCGGUCUCCCAAUCUUCUUCCUCCUCCUCCUCUAUAACCGCAUCAUCGGCGUUGCUAGGGCCCACUGCAACAUCGUAUCGAGGAAGAUCACCGAGGUCAAUUGUAAUUGACUGAAUCGGUAUUUCGACUGAAGACACUCCUUCUAUUUGAAACGGUUCUUGUAUAACAUUUGUAUCUCGAAGUGUUUCCGCAUCAUUUUCCAUUGAAGAUUCUAAACGUUGGUCAGCCACAUUGUCGACGUCGUUGUCACUUGGGUCUAGUUCUGGUAUAUCAUACACGUUCCUAUGAUCCAUCUUCUGCACAACUUUCCACCCGUUCCCGGCUUUAGGGUCAUCUAGAUAUACAAUUUGGGACGCCAUGUUUGCCAAAAUGUACGGGUCGUCAUCAUACCAAGUUCUGUUAAUGUUCACAGACAGUACUCCAUGGUCGAUUUUAACACUUGCCGCCCUAUUUGGGUUGGUAUCGAACCAUCGACACUUAAACAUGAUGACUUGGUAUCGAUCUUUGUAAAGCAAUUGCACGACAGUUGUCAGUUUGCCAUAGAAAUCAAUGUCCGUACUUUCGCCUCCACCUGGGACAUGGACACCGCUGUUUUGCGUACACAACUUGUCAUCUCGUGCGGCCCCCAAAAAUUUGACGCCGUUAACAUUACAACCCGAGAACAAUUCAGCGCGAAUUGGGCCGAACGCCAAGUUAUAUAACUCAUCACUGUAAGUGGGGGAAUUCGAUGAUUUCAAUUUAUUCACCUAAUAGUAUACAAAACCAUUUACAUGUUAGUCUGACAAAAUUAAAUACUACAAUUUAUAUUUGUCAAUUACAAAACACUUAUAACUUACAGAAUCCAAAAACCAUUGUGGAAAUAAUUCACGGUGUUUCCGGGCAGCCAAAUGUGAUGGAUGUUCUCGCUUCAUCAUCUGUUCAUGCUCAUCUAAGUAGGCCAUUAUCUCAUCACAAUUGUUCAGUACGAACCAAUGCGCUACCUCCAUGUCAUUUCUAGAAAACGACUCUCCUCGUCCAGGAUCUCCAAAUGGUCGUGCGCUUUGGGAAAAAACAGAAAGUUUUUCAUCUCUCAUACCUCCGUCAUUAUUGCGUUGAGGACGAUUGAAAACCGUCUCCACAUCUUUUAAAUACAUUCCACAGAAAGUAAGCGACUCAUAUUGAACCCAAGCCUCUAUAAUUGAUCCUUCGGGCUUUGCCCUGUUGCGUACACUUUUUUUCAGCUCUCCGAGAAGCCUGCCAAAAUAAAACGAUAUGAUACAAAUUAGCAAACUGUCGAUAAUGAUGCAUACACAAAUGAUAAAGAUUAUAUACCUUUCUAUUGGAUACAUCCAGCGAUAGUUGACAGGAUCAGCAAGCAAUGCCUCUUCUGGCAAGUGAACCAUCACGUGCUUCAUACUUGUAAAGAAAGCGGGCGGAAAUAUCAUCUCAAACUUGCAUAGGACUUGGACAAUGUCAUGGCGCAACUGAAACAUGUCUGUCCUUCGCAAUGUUUUUGCCGUCAGUUGGGAAAAAAAUCUGGAUAACAACAUGAUUGGCUUCACCACAUCUUCCGGCAGUAGGUGUCGAAUACCCACAGGAAGUAGACGUUGCAUAAACACAUGGCAGUCAUGGCUCUUAAGUCCAGUAAAUUUACCCCCAUCGACAUUCACGCAACGUGCGAUAUUAGAAGCAUACCCAUCGGGAAAUUUGACAGACGAUACAAACUUUAGAAACUCUUUUUUGUCAUUCGGUUUCAUAGAAAAGAAUGCAAGAUCCCUUCUAGCUUUAUCACUGUCCCUAUUCAUCCAUAAACCCCUUCGUAUGCCCAUUCUUUCCAAAUCAAGACGAGCUUUGAUCGUGUCCUUCGUCUUCCCCUCGUUAUCUAGAAUCGUGCCCACCAAUGUGUCGAAUACAUUUUUCUCAACACGCAUCACAUCUAGAUUGUGUCUCAAUUUCAGUUUCGACCAAUAUGGGAGCUCAAAAAACAUAGGCUUGUGCGUCCAGUUCAAAUGUGUAGAAGGUCUGGUCCGACUAACUGUUUUCCCGAACGGAGCAAAAUCCAAACGGUUCAGCUGUUCCAAGAUCUCAUCACCGGACCAUUCUCUAGGUCUGAGGCGACGCUCUGUGUUCCCGUCGAACUCUUUAUCUUUUUCCCGCCAUUCGUGGUCCCAUGGCAACCAUCUCCGAUGACCAAGGUAACAAACUUUUCCUGCGUGCCAACCAGAAGUUACAUCUUCCUUGCAUACAGGACAUGCCAUAUAACCCUUUGUGCUCCACCCAGAAAUCAUUGCAUAUGCUGGGAAAUCAUUCACAGUCCACAUAACUGCUGCCCGCAAAGUGAACAUCCUCCCAGUUGAUUUAUCGUACGUGCGAACACCGUUUGUCCAUAAAUCCUUCAGCUCAUCAACCAGAGGCCUUAAGUACACAUCAAUUGACCUGCCAGGAUCCUCAGUUAUCAAAACAGUCAUCAUCAUGUAUUCUUUUUUCAUGCAUUUCCAAGGCGGCAAAUUAUAUGGGAAUGCGAAAAUCGGCCAAGUGCUGUGGUGUUGGUUUAGAACCCCAUACGGAUUGAAUCCGUCAGUGGCAAGUCCCAAUCUAACAUUUCGGGGAUCAGCAGCAAACUCGGGGAACGUUCGAUCGAACUCUUUCCAUGCCUCCCCAUCUGCAGGAUGCCGCAUCACAUCAUCGUCUACCCGUUUUUCCUUAUGUCAUCUCAUGUCUGUGGCAGUAUGCGUCGACAUAUACAAUCUCUGCAACCUAGGUUUAAGGGGCAGAUAACGCAUCCUUUUUUGUGGUAUCUUAGUCGUUCUAUUCUGGGAUGUCAUUUUGAACCUCGACUCAUUGCAUAUAGGGCAUGUAUCCAACGUUUCAUGCUCUUUGUAGAAUAACAUGCAAUUGUUUUUGCAAGCGUGGAUUUUUUCAUAACCCAAUCCAAGACCAUGCAACACCUUCUGUGCAUGUUUAUGGUCUUUCGGCAAACAAUUGCCCGUCGGAAGCAUUCUCUUGAAAACCCCCAAAAAGUAAUCGAAAUACAAGUUCGACAUACGAUACUUUAUUUUUCUGUGCAUUAGCUCCACAAUGGCAGUGAGAACGGAAAAGCUCUCGCACCCCGGGUAUAACUCUUGGUUGGCAUUUUUUAACAGUUUUUCAUACUGUUCAAACUCCGCACUGUCUAUUGGUGUAGGCACGUCAUAUUCCCCUUCCUGAUUGAUGCUGGUCGAUGCGAAUGGAAAAGCAUCCUGUAUAAUACCCAUGACUUGAUCAUUAGGAUCCACAAUAGGUUCAACAUUGUCCACUCUUGGGGCAUUUGAAGACGAAGCAUGGUCUACUUGUUCGCCGUGAAGGUUCCAAAUGCUAUGUGUUUCAAUCAUUCCAUUCCUUACUAAAUGAAAUCCAACAUUUUCAAUUGUCUCAAACAACGUGUUGUUACACCUCCUACAAGGACAACGGAUUCUAGUUGCACCCGGGUUCUGUCUACGUGCAAACUCAAUAAAAUCCUCGAUUCCAUCCAAGUAUUCGUCUGCGCAUCUAUUCGGGUUAUGUAUCCACCUUCUGCUCAUAAUUCCUGAAACCACAAUCACGACACAACAAUCACAACAACUUCAUACGAAGUUAUAAUGUCACCUUAUGCCUCCGGUAAGGGCCCUAUCCCAUUCGGGAAUGCAUAGUCCUGUCACGUAACCUACGGCUACAUGAGAUUAGAUUUCGACGUGGAUUAAUUUCGGCAGCAUCUCGACACAGUUCUUAAAGUGGGCAUAGGUAUAAAUACCUACGUACCACCCGAAGAACGUACCGAGAUGACACCGAAAUCUCCACAAUCGAAACCUAAUCCUGUAGCCGAAGAUUAUGUGACAACACUAUGCAUUACCAAACUGUCCAAGUAAUGGGACAAUUCAAGAAUUAAUUGGACCGCAGUCAUGCCUUACGCAUCCAUGCACGAAAUCCAACUAAUCUCGAACGGGAAACUACGUGUUACUAAACAUAAAAAUAAAAGUACGAAGUUAAUUUCAAUUAACUUCGUACAUCACAACACAUUGUGCUACGUCACGCACAAUUUCACAACAUUAUACACAUAAAACUUGACAAAAAAAUUACAAACUUAACAAACAAACUUUUACAAUGACAUACCUUCUCAAUCGUUCUCCACCAAUCACUAAUCACAAAUAUCCCUAACGAGAACAAAAUUAAUAGCAUUAGUACGAAUUUACAUUAAUACAUUUAAACUAACGACAAAAAAUACAUACCUAAUAAACGUACAUAAUUCACAGCAGAGCAGCAGCAGGGAGGGAGAGUGAGAGAGAGGCAGAAUGCAAUUUUUGCAUUCUGCCUCUGCAAUGGCAGAUACAAAUAUGAAGAAGAAGGACUUUGCGCGACGAACAAGGCAAAUUCGUCGCGCGAAACGCCGUCGCGAAAACCCACUUUUCCGUCGCCCAAAACAACAUUUCCGUCGCGCAAUCACGUGUCGACAACUGAUUUUUUGCGCGACGAACAAAAUUAUUCGUUGCGCAAAAUUCCGUCGCGCGUUUACAAUCCGGCGUCGCGCAAAGUGCAACUUUCGUCGCGCAAAUAAAACUUUUUCGUCGCGCAAGAACGCACCGCGAUUAAACUUUACGCGACGACGGCACUUCCGUCGCGCAAAAACCCACCUGCAUAUUGGCGCCAAAAAUAAGUUUCCCUCGUUUUCUUACGCGACGGUUGAUUUUUUUCGUCGCGCUAAGUUGUCUUCUGAGACGAAAACUCUCGUCGCGCAAAAUUUUUUUACCGCCAUAAUCGGAGCCAAUAUUCUGUCCAUCUUUGCGCGACGAAUACCUGGAAUUAUCGCGCAAUAUAGUCAUGCGCGACGAUCUCUGUCGUCGCGCAAGAGUUUGGCGCAAUAACAUAGACUUUACAACCUUUGCGCGACGACAUUUAUUUACGUCGCGCAUAGACUCUUUCCGCGACGAAAUUAUUUGUCGCGCUAGUUGUCUGUUGUAUGCGCGACGGAAUCUUUUUUUCGACGCAAAAGUGCUCCUUGCGCGACGAAAUUGUCUUCGUCGCGCAAACUUCCAUCGCGCAAAUAGUAAAUCGUAGUAGUGAACAGCUUAAAGUGGCAUCUAACAAACAAUUCUUUGUUAGAACCUAUGAAGAUGCGCAUCUUGUUGUUUAGUUUUAAUGAUUUGCCAUACCGAUUGAAGCAAUGCUUUCUAUAUUGUUCCCUUUUCCCUGAAGAUCAUGUGAUCAUAAAUAUAAGGCUCAUUAGAUUGUGGAUCGCUGAAGGAUUUGUUGAACAUGUCGAAGGGCUCACGCCAGAAGAAGUUGCAAAUAGCUAUCUUACGGAACUCAUUUUUCGUAACAUGCUACAGGAAAGGUUUCUAGGAUCCAUCCCAGCAUGUAAGAUGCAUGAUCUUUUGAGGGAGUUUGCUCUGUCUAUAGCAAAAAAAGAAAAGUUUUGUGCUAUACAUGAUGGGAGUGAAACUGGGGCACUCUGUUUGUCAAUUCAAACAACUAAGGGGGAAAUUGGAUCAUGCACAGGUAUAUCACGGCUCCGUUCGUUUCUUGUCUUUGCCACUGGAGUAUCCUCAUUCUCUUUCUCAAAUAAAUUACCUUUUGACCUUAAAUUGUUGAAGGUUCUAGAUUUGGAGUAUGUCCCCACAACUACAAAAAAGCAAAAAGACGACGGUAAAUCACCGUCGUGUAUUGGGUUUUUCAAUGGUCGUGGAAUCCACCGUCAUCUUUUCCCUCAUAAACCACGACGCUAAAUAACCGUCGUUGUUAAAAUAUACAACGUCAUCAACAAAUACAAAACGACGUCUUUGUACUGCAAAAAGAUCUAAAAAAAGCAAUCGAGGAUGAUAAUAGACGACCAACUCUCUAAAAAAACCGUCGUUAAAAAGGAAAAAUAUGACACAUAUUAACAGAACAAGGCCGCAAGAUAGACAUACAACGACGAAAAUACAAAUACGACGACGUUAAAUAUAAUUUUCACGACAAUAAAAAAUAUGACGUCUUUAAAUACAUUAGAAGACGACGUUAUUGAUACCUACUACGUCGCAUAUAUAAAAACAACCGUCGUAAAAUUAAUUUUCCACUUCGAUUUUUCGAUAAAAGAUGACGUGGAAAUAGUUGUCAGUGUCAUUAUUUACGACGUAUAUGUUAAUAGAGUAGACGUUGAAAAACUAAACAACGUCGGUUACAAAUAUAUGAGAGUCGUAUUACAAAAUUUAUACGUCCUAUUUUCAGAAACAAACAACGACGAUAAAUAUUAGACGUUGUUAAAUAAAACAACGUCGGAAAAAAAUAAAAACAGACGUGUUUAGUCUGCUAAAGUUCUAGAAAAUAGUCGAGGAUGAGAAUAGACGACCAACUCAAAAAAAUCACCGUCGUUAAAAAGGAAAAAUAUGACACAUAUUAAAAGAACAAGGCCGCAAGAUAUACAUACAACGACGACAACUAAAAUACUACGCCGUUAAAUAUAAUUUACCCGACAAGAAAAAAUAUGACGUCUUUAAAUACAUGAGAAGACGACGUUAUUGAAAUCUACUACGUCUCUUAUUUAUAAAAAACCGUCGUGAAAUAAAUUUUCCACUUCGAUUUUUCUAAAAAAGAUGACGUGGAAAUAGUUGUCAGUGUCAUUAUUUACGACGUAUACAUUUAUAUAGUCGACGUUGUAUUUAUAUGUAUUCAUUACUCACGACGCACUUAAUAAUAUAGACGACGUUGAACUUCUAAACAACGUCGGUUCCAAAUAAAUGAGAGCCGUAUUACAGAACAUAUAGACGGCGUAGAUUAUGAUGAGAGCCGUAUUACAAAUAACGUCGUUUAAUUAUUAUUAGACGGCGGUUAUAAUGAAUUUCCGUCGGAAUUCAUUUCGUUCCUCUUCGUUUAUAAAAGAACUUGCGACGUGGAAAAUGUAUGAUGACGUCGUAUUUUUUAACGUUCAGAUUAUAUAUCUCGUUUUUUAGACGUCGUUAUUAUGGGAUUGGAGUCAUGUUAUUUUGAAUUACAUGGCGGUUCUUAAUCCUUCCCCGACGUGAUAUCCUGGAUAAUUGCUUCACAAUAGCGUCGUGGUUCUUCAUUGUUACGUUGCUUUAAGACGUCGGUAAAUAUGUUGAAUAAAUGGUUCACCAUAACGUCGUGUUUUAUUUGAACAGACGUUGUUUUUUAUGCAGAAUAUAAUGAUGUAAUCUGGAUCCAGUAUUUUUUGCACUGAUUGUUUUGUGGCCAAAACCUGUAUAAUGAAAGUGAAGAAAUCACAUUACAAUAUAUUAUAAAAUGAAUGUCAUACACUGCCAAUUACAUAAGCAUCAUUCAAUCCAUAUAUCUUCACACCCACCUCGAAUAUUUUGAGCACCUAACUCACCCACCAGUUCAUCAAAUGUGUCAACAUUUGGCAUCCCUCUAGUAAAUGGCUCACACUCAAUUAUCACAUCACCUAAGACUUCAUCACCAAUAACAUCAUUAUAUUCUCUAUUAGGCAUUGAUAACACUACCGACCAACCACGAUGCAUCGGGUCGUCAACAAAAAAUAUUUGUUUGACUUGAGAAGCCAAAACAAAUUGGUCAUUCCUAUGUCCAAUUUUACUCAAAUCUACAAGGGUAAAUCCAAGUUCGUCGACUACAAGACCAGAACUAUCUAUCCAAUCACACCUAAAGACUGGGAUUGUAAACUUUUGGUAGUCAAGGUCCCAAAUUUCUUGAAUGACACCAUAGAAACCCAUAUUUGAGAGAAUUGGAUUUUUAUCCUUGGCACUAGCAACUUGCAUGGUAUGUGCAAGUAAAUAAACUCCACUAUUUUGAGUUGUCCGCACAUCAUCUUGUGCCUUGAUAUUGAAUUUAAUACCUUUAAUAAGAUAGCUCCUAUAUAAUGGCACUGCCAUGUUUGGACCAGCUGCUAGCCAUCUUAAAUUUUCUGAUACGCCAUUAUUGUCUUCCUCAAGUUCACUUUGAACCUGCAAAUUAAUCAAAUCUUAAUUCAAUCUAACAUAGAAAUAAGAAGAAAAUUAAAAGAGAAAUAUGUUAUUCAACAACAUAUACCUUGAAGCGUAGCCAUUGAAUGAAAGUGCUAUUGUGCUUAUCCUGCAGCCACUUUGUUCUCUUUCUAAAUUUUGGAUAAGCAGUCUUGAUGACUUAUCCAUUCAUAUGCCUUCGAUCUUCUAUCCGAGUGCAUCCAUGACUUAUCCAUCUCCGACACUAUAACCUAUUAUCUAUAAUAAAGUGAAAAUACAGGCAAUGACCAUCACUAUAGCAGAUUAUACAAUGAUCUAAUCGCAAGUAAUACACAACAGAGACGACGGGUUUUAAACAAAAACAGACGUAUUUGGCAUAUAUAGACGACGGAUUUUCAACAGACGUCGUCUAUUAUAAGUAAUACAAACGACGGUUUAUGAAAAAACCGUCGUGUACAAGUAAUACAACGACGGUAGUGUAAAAAAACCGUCGUGUAAUCGUCGUCGUAUGCCUUAAAAUUCGUCGUGUCUCAGUUUAUUUUCAAGAACACAAAACCCAUUAAGAACACAAUAUAUAUAUGAAACCAAGCAAGAAACCAACAUAUACAUGAAACCAAGCAUGAAAACAAUAAAUCCAUUCCCAAUUCAACAUAACAUAGGGUGAUUAAAAGAUACGACAAAAUUAAAUCCAUUCCCAAUUCAACAUAACAGAUAAUGUAAUCCAUGAACCCAUUAAACAGAAAAUCCAUGAACCCAUACCUAUAAGCACAUUAUUAACAGAUCGCAAAGCAUACACAUAAAACCCUUUAACAAAACAACCUAAUAUCAUUCAAUGAAUUUACAAGGGGAAGAUAGGGUUUGUACUUAUAGGUUGGACGAGCUCACAGAUUCGACGGAGCCUGGAGAGUGCAACUUUUAAUUAGAGCAGAAGUGAGAGCGAAAUGUUAUGUCGCGCGAAAUCUGAAAAUUUUAGGUUUCAGGGUUCGAAGUAUAAGAAUAAGAGCCAAAUCUAAAAAAAUUUAGGUCGCGCGAAAAUUUUUAGAGCUCGCGCGUUUUAAAACGUCGAAAGAAAAACCAAGGCGAAAGUUCUACAAGUACCGACGUAAAUUUAAUAUUCCACGACGGAAACUUCAUUUUUCGGAUUAAGAACGUAAGGCCGUUCAUUUUGAAGCUUCAUUUUUCGGAUUAAUUUUAAAUUUAUUUUGAAUUUUUUAUAUAACGACGACUGAAAAACCACGUCGGUGUUAAGAAAUUAAAGACGUUGUAAAUUAUAUAAACUGACUUACAUAUUAAAAUGACGUCGUUUAAAGCGUAAACCAUGUCGUAUGUUUUACUGUACGACGUAAAAUAUGUAUUCCACGACGCAACCACCGUCGUUAAAAAUUAAUACCCUAAACCCAUAAAACUAAAUUAUACAAUUUAAAAAAUUAAGUUUAUAAAAGGUUUAUGGUUUUAAAGCCUAACAUAUACCCUAGACUACCCAAAAAUUAUACUUUAAAAAUAAACCCCAAUAAAUAACAACCCUAAUCUCUAAACCCUAGACUCUAAACCCUAAACCAUAAAACUAGAAGUGAUUUUAUGACUCAUCAAAACAAUUUUGUUUUGGAUGGUCAUUUUAAAUUUUUGUUAUUCAAAAUGAAUUUUUUCAAGGUUUAUGUGGAAGAAAAUAUAUCAAUGACUUCAUAGGAGUUGACUUUUCAAUUUUCUGAUUUAUUUUAAAUUUAUUUUGAAUAUUUUGAUAUAAAAAUAAUAAAAUAUUCUUACCACAACAACAAACCACGUCGGUGUUAAUAAAUUGUAGACGUUGUAAAUUGUAAUAAACUACUAAGUCGUUAAAAUGACGUCGUUAAAAUGAGAAACCAUGGCGGCUAUUUAACUAUACGACGUAAAAUAUAUAUUCCACGACUUAACCGCUGUCGUUACAUAAACGUCGUCGAUGAUACCCUGAACCCUUAAGAAAUUGAAGAUGUUGUAAACCAUAAACGACUCAAUUGUUCAAAGAACGUCGUCUAACUAUAUUUUUACGUCGUAUUUGUUUAAAACACGAAACAACAAAAUACGACGGUUUUUGACUUUAUUAGGUCGUUGGAAAAGUAUUACACGUCGGUUAAGCAAUUUGUAUGUUUGUUUUUUUUUUAAUUUAAGAAAACCUCAACAAAUUUUUACAUUACAUAUUAUAGAGAAAAUUUGUACAUUAUACAUAAAUAUCAAGUGUUCAAUAAUUGCCCUGUUUAAUAAUUUGGAAAACAAACUCUGCCCAUUCAUUCCGGACUUCAUCAAUGGCUUCUUGGGGGUAUGAAGCUUCCUGGUUUCCCUUGGCAUACUGCAUAAACAAUGACUAUUAGGGUUUAUAAAUAAAAAGAAAUUCAAUCACAAACGACGAUAUUUUUCAUAACCGACGUAGUAUAUCCAUUCAACGACGUUAAUUUUACAUGACCGUCGUUGAUAAUACAAAAAACGACGUGAAAUGUAUGAAGGUAAUUUCUUCUUACCUUAUACUCAAACCCCAAGGAAGGAUCCAUGAUGAUGUCCCUCAUGAAGCGCAUCACAUAAUACCCGCAUUCGACAUUGCUGGGUUGCUUUGGUGUGCCUGAGAGAGUUUUCCAAAUUACAUUUUUACGUCCUGCUCGGGCUAUGUGGGUAUUAUAUAUUUUUAAAGCAUUGUUCACGAUGUUUUUCGCCUCUUCGUCGACCACACAAUGACCUGGCAGAGGAUCCAGAAAAUAGACGGUCUCCUUCUUUGCUCUUACAAUCAGCAAGAUCCAAUGACGGCUGCACAAAAUUAAUAUAAAAACGACGGUUAUUUACAAAAACGACGUAUUAUAGUAUUUCACACGACGAAAUAAAGUAGAUAACGACGACAUUAUAUAUUUAUCACGACGAUAAAUAAAUACCGACGUGGUUAGUAGUUUCAAACGACUAAAUAAAAUAAAACACCGACGUGGUUAGUUUAUAAGCUGUCAUUUAUUGAAAAUCAUAAAAACAAAAUCCUAAGGAGACUAACCCUGGAUUGUAAGGCAUCAUGAAAAUCUGUUCACCGUCUGUCUUCUGAAGUCGAGCUGCUACCAGUCGUGAUCUUUCAGUUAUUGUGCCAGAGUUGGCACUAACUGUAGCAGGGUCGAUAAAGCCAACCAUGCUGCACAUAUUGGCUUGUUUCAAAACAUCGUGUAAGUACCUAAAUACAUAAAAUAAUAUAAACAAGUCAGCACAAAAAAACACGACGGUUAUGUAUAAAAAAACGACGUAUUAUAAUAUUUCACACGACGUACUGAAAUAGAUGAGGACGUUAUAAUAUAUUUAUCACGACGGUAGUUAGUUAAGACGACGUGGUUAGUUAGUUAAGACGACUCAAUAUAUAAACCAACGAGGUAUUAUUUUAGAAGUACAAACCUCAUAUAUACAGCCAAUACAGUAGCUCCAAUUUCUUCCGUGCCUGCAAAUUGUGUAAUAUCUUCAGGCAGGAGGAAGGUAUCGCGCUCACCACCAAACACCUCCUUAUCAAUUGUAAAUUGGAGUGUCUUAUCCUCAGGAAGGAGUGUCGUUUCCAAAAAACGACAAAGGGUUUUUAAAGAAGAUGGCGCCUCCAUAGUUGAAUAAUCACCAACUUCAAUAACCUGUUUAAAGAAAUAAAAAAAAUGACGUGGUAAUUCAAUAAAGACGACGGUUUAAGGAAUAAAACGUCGUCUUAAAAGUAUUUAAACGACGGUGAAAAAACUGUCGUGGUAAUUCAAUAAAGACGACGGUUUUAUGAAUAAAGCGUCGUCUGAAACCAUUUAAACGACGGUGCAAAAACCGUCGUUUAAAUAUUUUAUUACGUCUUAAAAAAAUUCCGCCGUCUAAGUUGUAAACAAACGACGGAUUAAAUAAAAAUAUCGACGUCUGAAAUUUUGAAAAACAAAUAAAAAAGGCAAAGUUAUGUGAACAUACCUUGUCGUCAUGCUUUUCUUCAUCUUCUUUCUCCUUUUCUUCUUCCUUCUCUUCAUCUUUUUUUUCUUCUUCCUUCUCUUCAUCUGGCUGAUGUUUCCCCAUUUUGGCAGUAUCAUCCUCCAAAUGUAGGGAUCUCACAUCACCUCCAGAGCAGCUAGCUUUGUCAGACAUUGGAUUUUUGGGGCUUUGGCUAAUUCUUGGUUUAAGCAUGCUUGGAUCAAAAUUGGGAAUUAAUUGGGAAAGCUGACUCAGGAAAUGCUCCCUCUCAGCCUCUACCAAUUGUUUUGUCCUAGCCUCCAUCCUUAAGGCCUCUUCCCUUGCCUUAGCCUCCAUCUUUUUAGUCUCUUCUUGAAGGAGAACUCUUAAACUGUCCUUCAAACGGUCGUCAAAGCUCACCCUCUGUGGUUUGGGCAAAUUGAAAUAUUGCCUUGGGGAAACACCAGCACCAACUCCCCUCACUCUGCCUGGAUGCUCGGGGCCCAAAGCCAUGGUCAGCACAUCAUUGCUGCCAUCUACUCUGACUUUGCCUUCCGAGACUUGUUUCUGCAAUUCAUCCUAAAACAAAGAUAAACAAAAAAAUACACGACGGUUAUUUAUGUACAAACGACGUAUUAUAUAAUUUCACACGACGCAAUAACGUAUAAACCGACGUUAUUAUAACUUAUCACGACGGUAGUUAUACCGACGUGGUUAUUUAUUUAAAACGACGAAAUGAAUAAACAACCGACGUCUUAUGCUAUAAUUAAAGAAAACAGAGUAGUGAUUCCUAUUUAGACCGUUAACGACGUUUUUAAAAAAGUUUCGACGUGGUAAUAUCAUUCACACGACGCGAAAAUGAACCACCGACGUCUUAUGCUAUAAUUACAGAAAACAUAGUAGUGAUUCCUAUUUAGACCUUUAACGACGUUUUUAAAAACUUGUCGACGUGGUAAUAUCAUUCACACGACGAAAAAUAUAACAUACGACGUAAUAAGAAUAUUUCACAGUUUAAUAAAAAUUUAAAACAGAGUGAUAGUAGGCUUACAAUUAAUUUUGCUUUCUCUGCCACCUUUGGAUCAGGGAUGUUACCAUGUUUGUCCUGUCUAGCUCUCUUCCAUAAGGUAGAUCGAUCAAUUUCUACCCCAGGCAUGGUUUCCUCCAAUUGAUCCUCCAAUCCAGCAUAUCCUUUUCGAGACAAUCGAUGAUUGUACUCGAGUUUCUCCCUAAUCUGUGCAUGUUGAGAAUGCACAGACUCAAAAUCUUUGGAUAGCCUCGAAGCUACAAAGGCAUCCCAUUGUGCUUUCUCUAUGAAUUUAUAUGUUUCAGGGGGUUGGCUUAAUUUCUCCCUGUCAUUGGUGUAUGGAAGGAUAUAAUGCCUCGUUAGUGUAGACUUGAAAUCCUUCCCUUUCUUGGCAGCAGAAGCUAAAACAGAGGUCUUACCCCCUUGGCCUACGACAAAAGCCAUGUCAACUGCUUCCCAAAUCUGCUCCUUUAUAUCCUUGGGGAUUUGGGACCAUUUCUUGUCCACAAGUGGGAUCCUGGAGCGUGCCAACACACCAAUAUACGACUGCAUCUCAAUAUGUGCUUGGCCAACACCUUUCCCCCUUUUAUUGUACUCAACAAUUGGCCUCAGUUUCUGAAGCUUUCUCUUCACAACACGAGGCAUUGUGCUCAUACCUCGACCAGUCUUUGAAUCAUCAGAGAUUGUUGUCUGGCUGGUUGGUUCUGUCUCAGCAGAUGAUGAAGCAAACUUCAUCUUCUUCGAAGACUUCAUCUCCUUCGAAGACUUGUCUUGAGGAGCUACCAUUCCAAGCUUCUUGGAGCCAGAAUCCUUAGUUUGUUGUUGAGAAACCAUUUUAACAGACAAAACUGCAAGUGAAAAUAUUUCAGGAAAACAUUAAGAACACAAACGACGGUAUUAAAAAAAUACGACGUAUGAUAUGAUUUUAGACGACGCAAUGAAAUAAUCUCAGACGUAAUAAAUGUUUAAAACCAUUAUUUAUAUAACGUCGUGGUAUAUAUGUUCACACGACGUCAAUAGUAAUACACCGUCGUGGUAAAACUAUUAUUUAUAUAACGUCGUGGUAUUUAUGUUCAUACGACGUCAAUAGUAAUACACCGUCGUGGUAUUAACAUUCACACGACGUAAAACAAUAAGAUAUUUUGUCGUCUACAUUAGAUACCAACCCUAGUUUCUUUUUCUUUAUAUUUUAUCAAAUAAGGGAAAAACAAAAACCAUUGUUCAGAGAAAUCAAACCUGCAAUUAAACAAGCAUAUAAAAAAAGACUAUUAUUUUAAAAACAACUUUGUCAAUUUUCAGACGACGCUAGAACAACUGACGAACCGUCGUGGUCUACCGUCGUCUUAUUUAGUUGAGGUAGUUGUCUUCAAAGUUGGAAACUUUCCCUCUUUGUCUGUAUAUUUUAUCAAACUUGGAAAGAAGUAAAAUGAUUUUGGCCAGAAAAAAGGUAAAAAGAUUUUUCAAACAAAAAACGUAUGAGCAUGCAAAACAGUAACCAAAAUAGUGAAAAUGAAAGCUUACCUUUUGCGUGCAAUGAAAGCAAGAGGAAGAUGAUCGAUGUUUAAGUUCAGAGACGACGAAGAAGACGAGAGGAAGACGAUGAGAAACUCUGACAAUGCUCUGACAAGGAAAAAAGACGAAAAGGUUUCUCUGGGAGAUUGAAAUUUUUAAUCGGGUUUGGAAACAGUGCAUGUGUAAGUCGAAAAGUUGCUUACAUAUAAAACCAUUUCAAAAAAAUAAUACGGCGGUUACAUUUAACUACGUCGUUUUUAACUAACACGACGCAAUAUUUUUCGUUCGACGUGGAAUCAUUUCAUUUAACGUCGUUAGGUUUAAUAUAACCGACGUGGAUUUUAAUUUUUAAAUUAUGAAUAGAAUUUUUUUUCCCGUGACCUUUCAGUUUAUUUUUCAAUUACAGUGCGUUAUAAAUAGAGUUUUUUUUCCUGAGGAAAUUUAAAACGAAGGAAAUUAAUAUUCUGCAAUAUGUAAAGUUUCUUUUUUGGAUGACAGAUUUAAAUAAAAUAAGAAUAUAAAAACAACGAAUGUGUAAGUCAAGUAGACGAAAAGUUGCUUACAUAUAAAACCAUUUCAAAAAAAAUAAUACGGCGGUUACAUAUAACUACGACGUAUAAAGUACAAAAUACGACGGUAAAUUUAACUUCGGACGUGGUAAAUAAAUACGACAGUAGUGUUGUAGGUACCGUCGUAGUAAACUCAAAAAUUAAAGUACAUAAGUAAUAACUCGCGUCAUGGUAGAUUAUUUAAGACGUCGUGAUUAUUAAUGUACCGACGUGGAGUUCUGUAAUAUACGUCAGUAAUACCGAUGUUGAUUUUACAAUUUAAACGGCGGUUUUUUGGUAAGGACCGCCGUUGGUUUUAAAAAUUUAUUCUAUAAAUUUGUCGCUUUCAUUCAUUUUCGCGGUUUACAUUUAGGGUUCCAAGUUCUUCCUCUCUCAGAGACACUGUCUCUCACAUCUCAAAGACAAUAAUUUGGAUGUCUUUCUCAAGAAGAAGCUUGUCAACUAGCCUUCUCACUUCCUUGAUCAAGCCUGAUAGGACACUUAGUGCUUCUGAAUACUCCUUGCUUUCCAUCAAAAGAGAUGCAAGCCUGGCCUCCACUCGCUGUCGAAGGAAAGUUCGCUUCUCAGGGAAAUCUGAAGAUCAGAUGUGCCUGAUCCUCUGCUUGAUUUUCUUGCCUAAGAAGAUUCGUCGGAUUUGUGAUAGCCUCUUCCUUUAUCCGUAGAGCUUCAGAAGAAGAAGAUGGGUUUCAAGAAUGCGAUAAAGAAUAGAAAUGGCUUCAGAUGGCCUCUAAAGCAUGAGCAAUUGAAUCAGUAGUUUCUGGGAGAUAUGAUGAAGACAUUGUCAAUGCUUUGAACUAUACAAGUCCUGCAGAAAGAUAAAGGACCAAACUGUUAAAGAAACUGAAACAACGGCGGUUUUCUGUUCUACCGUCGUCUUUUCUCGUCGUCUAUAUUAAGGUAAGAUGGCGGUAGAUUUAUAAUUACCGACGUAGAUUAUUUUGUUAAACGUCGUUAAGUGUACUACAACCGACGUGGAUUUUAUUUUUAAAUUAUAAAUAGAGUUUUUUUUCCCGUAUUCUUUCAGUUUUAGUUUUCAAUUACAAAGCGUGAUAAAUAGAUUUUUCUUUCCCGAGGAAAUUUAAAAUGAGGGAAAUUAAUGUUCUAGAAUUUGUAAACUAACACGACGCAAUAUUUGCAAAUCUGUGUCAUCUGUUAAGAUUAUGAUGUGGAACAGAGUUCCAUCUGGUAAGAUUUCGUAACCCUUGGGAUCUCAGACAAAUCUGAUUAUGUCGGCGGUGUUCUAUAUAAACCGUCGUGGUUAUUUCAAUUCUUGUCAUUAAGUAGAUCUACCGACGUAGGAUAAGAAAAUCAAAGAAAAAAAUUGUUAACAAAAAUUCUUAUUAAGACGACCGUUAAAAUUAAAGGUACGACGUAUAAAAUGAAUAAAUACGACGUUAAAUUUUAUUGUACGAUUUAAAGAUAACGUCGUAGAACUAUACGAGAAUGACGUCGAUAUAUUUAUAUUUUCCGUCGUUGUAAAUUAAUUUAAUACGGCGAUAUUUUGUAUUUUAAAGCCGUGGAUUUGUUUGUAAUUAUACGGCGUCUUAUACGAAAACCUCGUCGUGUUAUUUUAUGAGGAAAAACGGCAGUUUUUAUUGAAAUCGUCGUCUUUACUUUCUACGUCGGUCGAUUCAUAACUUCUGCCGUUCUUUGUUGGCAUUGAUUUUACACUGCGGAAAUCUGUUUCAAAUAGACGUCGGUUGUUUAAUUAUGUACGUCGUUGUUUUUGAACAACCAUUUGAAUCUCCAUUUUUUAGUUGUCUAAGGUUGUAUUACACGACGGUGUUUUUAGAACCGUCGUCUUUUUAUAAACCACGACGGUUUUCACUUAGACCGUCGUUGUUUUCUGGUCGUCUUUUUCACUUUUUGUAGUUGUGCCCACUUGAUUAUCUGCCAGACAAUCUAACGUCCUUAUUUAAUUUAAAAUAUUUAAAUUUGUUUGGAACUCCAAUUACGGAGCUUCCAGAAUCCAUUGGACAGCUCGGCAACCUUCAGACCUUGAACAUCACGGAGACAAAAAUAGAGGCACUUCCAAGAGUUCCAAGUUGCUAAACUUGCGCCAUUUACUUGUGGGGAGGUUCCAAGAGGGAUUUCCAGGAUAGAUUUCCAGAAAGGUAAUUGGGGUAAGAAUACCAUCAAGUAUUAGGAAGAUGAAGAAAUUGCAAUCUUUGUUACGUAUUGAAUCAGAAGGAAACAUUAUUAGACUUAUUGGAAGUAUGACCCAGCUUAAAUUCCUUGGCAUUACAAAUGUGAAAGAAAGAGACGAGGAGGACCUAUGUGCCUCAAUUCAAGAGAUGAAGGUCCUUUCCCGCUUGUUUUUAUUUGUAUCUCAUGGAGAGGAAUUUCUUCGAGUUGACGCAUUGUCUUCACCGUCUCCCUACCUUGAUAGACUUGAAUUGGUCGGCAAACUGGAAAAGGUUCCACAUUGGUUUUGUUCGCUCCACUCUCUCACAUAUAUGAACCUGCAAGGGUCCAGACUUGAAGAAGAUUUACUACCUCAUAUUGAAGCAUUGCCCUCUCUACUUUCUCUUUCCCUUAAUAAUGCCUCUGUUAGGAAAGAGUUAUGUUUCAACAGAGGCUUUGUGAAGCUUCGGCAUUUGUGGUUAUGGAAUCUCGCAUUAUUAAAUAAGAUAACUAUAGAAAAAGGGGCGAUGCCAAAUCUCGAGUUCUUAAGCAUUCGCCGUUGCUUGACAUUAGAAACAUUGCCACAGGGUAUUGAGCACCUUACUAAACUACAACGAUUCAGAUUUUAUAUUGUUUCAGAGAAGUUUAGAGAGUCCAUAAAAGAAGGAGGUGUGGAUCAUCCAAGGAUGCUACUCGUCGACGAGAGAUGUAAGAAAUAUACGUAAGUAUCUUUUAUCCUUUCAUUGACUUUCCUAAACUUAAUGAUUUGGAAUAUUGCACUUGUGUUCAAGAAAUUGUUCUCGUACACAUCUCUGUUAAUGGAUGUAAAGCCAUAUAAAUUGUCUGUUAAUUACAAUAUUGUUUUUGUCUUAUUAUAUAUUUUGCAGAAACAAGUCCUGGGAUUGAAGAUUUUACUCAUGAGUUUGGGGUUGGGAACUUGUUCGUCUUGUUUCGACCACAAGAGUGAUGUAGAUUGGCUUCUUAUUUGCUCUUUUGAAAAUCAAACAAUACCCAAGUUGAUGUUCAUAAAAUUGCAGUUGAUGUUUUUGUGUGUGUUUAAUUUGCAUGUAAUAAAAUUCGAGUUUGCAUCUUUCACUUCAGCAAUUGGCAGAUGUAUGUCGCUGAUUAGCUUUUAAGAUUUGGACCACAUGGAUUCUUUUAUAUUCGGCAUGUUUGUACUUUCUUCUAUGUUAAUUGUGUUUGUAUUUUCAGGUUUUUUUCUUUGUACUUUCAGAUUGGCUAAUUAAAUAAUACAGAAUCUUAAUUGCUUUCCAUGAGAAGUUCUAU
Molecule: long non-coding RNA, 46860 nt
Filed under: Prunus persica (peach)
Lineage: Eukaryota; Viridiplantae; Streptophyta; Magnoliopsida; Rosales; Rosaceae
Description: long non-coding RNA (PPER_LNC006470)
Source: RNAcentral